AUAAUAAUAAUAAUAAUAAUAAUAAUAAAGUAGUUCGAUAAUUUUUUAUUUAAAAAUUUAAGUCGUUAAAAAAAUAAUAUUUUAAUAUAUAUAUAUAUAUAUAUAUAUAUUAUAAGUUGAGUUGGAAUGCUAUCGAUAGCAAACGGGCUACAUUGUCACCUAUUUAUUUUCGAUGAUGAAGCCUCCAAAUCGACGAUCGGCACCGUUGAACAUAAUCUAUACCACUUAAAGUGUCUAAAAACCAAAUUUCAAAUCUUUUCGACAUUAUUAGCCUAAUGAUCAAAGGGUUUUGAAAAUUAUAAUUUUAAUGAUAAAUAUGAGGCAUUUUCUCGUUUAACGGUGUAAAACUAUCCAAAUCAAUUGAAUUUUCGUUAGAAAAUUCUUUAAACUAUUUAGAACAAGAUUUAUACUCUCGAUCUUGAUUAUAAAAUUUCUAUCAUCAUUUUUUUAAGAAUAUUUAUUUUCAGCCGUUCAUUUUUACACCCACUUGAUAGACAAGAGAAUAAUAUCGGAAAAGUAUAAAAUUUGAUUUCUAGAUACUUCAAGUGGUGAUAUCAUUUUCAACGAUACCGAUCGUUGAUUUGGAGCCUUCAUCAUCGAAAAUAAAUGGGUGGCAACGGAGACGGUUUGUUACCGAUAACAUUCCAGCUAAACUCUAUAUAUUAUAUUUAAUAUCCAAAAGUGUUACUAGCUGUAUGUAUGGUCAUCUAUUCAUGAAGGAAUUAUGUUUCAUAUCAACCAAACCAUUAUUAUGAAUUGGCCCAGAGAAAUAUUUAGUGCUUGUACAACAUAAAAGUUCCAACUAACCUCUAUCGUAUAUUUAUACGUACAUCUAAAAAAUUUAAAAUAAAUAAAUGUUUUCAUUAAAAUACGUAUAAAAAAGUUAUACGUAUUUUAAUAAGGUCACGUGCCAAGCACGCGAUUGGUGAAUAGGUGCAAAACAUGCAUGUGAUACAGCCAAAGUACACGGAUCCAAAUCUGAUACGCACGGAAAUUGAAGGACUUAAAUCAUGAUAUUAUUGUUUACUAAAGAAACAAAUUAAGAAGGUGUAAUUAAUUAAAAUAAUAUUAAAACAUUAUUUUCCCUUAGUUUCUGGUUUUAGAUAAUUUGGUUGAGUGUUGGAUUUAAAACAUUAAACUGCUAUUCACGGCACUACAACAGAAUUAGAUUAUAGGGACACAUGUUUGAGACACUUUUGAGUAAGUGUCCCAUUUAUGCUAAAACUUAAAAACACAUCUACUAAUGCCUAAAUAUAAAGCCCAAUCCAACUAAAAAUAAAAGAUUACUCUACUCAACCCACCACACCUAGUCCAUUUGGCCCGAUUACAAACAUAAAUGAAAAAAAAAGAAAAAUCAAUUACCAUCUUUUCUUCUCUCUUCACUUAAUCCACUGAAAUUCUAGACAAAGAGUCUUUAUUGUCGUCCUCCUCCGCCACCGUAGCCAACGAGAUAGAGUUUCGGCGGUUGCUAAAUGCUUAAAUAAGUGUUGGUAAAUUAGCAGCACUUUUUUAGCUUAUAGCGACACUCUUUAACUGUCACUAUAUACCUAGCGACCCCACAUAUAGCAACACUUUUUAACAGUGUCGGUAAUUUUAGCUAACAACACUUUUUUGACAUGUACCUGCAUUUAAAAGUGUCGCUAUAGACCAUUUUUGAUAUAGUGCGGGUUAAGAUUUUGCUUGAUUAGAAAAUAAUAGUAAUAAAAGAAUUUUAAUUUAUUAUGAGUUGAUAAAAUUGAAUUUGAUCAAAUUUAAUUAGUGAAUGGUGAUCGAAUUGAGUUUAACUCCUUGUCAAGAGUAAUAUUAAUCCUUUUUGGAAGUCACAAUUUUGGUAACUUAUUUUUCUUUGUUUAUGUUGUUGUUGUUGUUUUUUUUUGUUUGAAAGCAUAGUUGUGUAGUAUUAGGCCCUUUAUAUAUUUUUAUUACUUUGGUUCGUAUUGUACAUCAAGGGAAGAAGAAGAAGAAGAAGGGAAAGAAAAAGAUAAAAAUUCCGUUCAGGAGAUACACAAUAGUGACUAAUUUAACAAUAAAUGCAUUUUUAUCUUGAAAAAUUCAGAUUCUACCGUUUGUUUCCAAAAUUGUAUUCUGAUUCUUAUUUUAAGAUCAAUUUCGAAAAACCCUAAACCGCUCGAAAUCAAAUCAAACUUUUAUUUCUCGUUCCAAGUUAUUCGACUUUGAUUCGGAUUAAGUUUAAUCACCAAUAUUUGCACACACACACACAUCCUAAAUGUGUUUGGAAAAUAUUUGUGUUCUAAAACUGGUUUAGUUGAUCUAUCAAACGAAGACCACAUUCAACAAAUGUAUCAAUUAAAGCUCCCUUCUCAAAUUAAGUGUAAAAUAAAUUAGAAGAAAUAAAAAAUUCAUUAAUGUGAUAGCUAUGCAAUUGGUUGAAUAAUCCCUUUUAUAACUUAUCUCUCUUGGGUGUAACUAAGUAAACAUUUGUUUUAGUAACAUACUCAAAAAAAAAAGUAUUUGUUUUAGUAAUAUGUUAAAAGAAAAGAAUAUGUUUUAGUAAACCUAGACAAUGAAUAGAUCAUGAUCAUGAUUAAAUUGAUCACAUAGUUUAUGAAUUGUUCAACGUAUCGUAAACUUGCUAACAAAUUUCAUAAUCAUUGACAUUAAUUAAAUUAGAAUUGGUGACCUUUUUUUUUUUUUCUUCCUGUGGACUUUUUUCCAACUCUUUUAAUUAAGCAAUCCAAACAAGUGACCAGAUCAAAACACAACUACUAUAAUUCACUGUGGCUUGUGAGCUCCAAUCAUAUAUGGCUAAGGUUUUAGUGAGAUAUAAAAAAUUAUCACAAAACAAUGCAAGUAAACUCCCAUUUAAUUAGGGCUUGAAUUAAUGCACCAAACAAAUAAUUGCAUGGAUUGCAUGCAUGCACCUAUGUUUAUAAAUUUUCCCAAAAACCAAUGUAUGAUGUGGUCUCCACACAAAUCAAAUCAAAUCAAAUGACAUAUACAUUGUUGCUUGAAUUAUCAAUGUAGACUAUAUAUAUGUACAUGUUAUUAGAAUUUCUUUUUACGCGCGGCUAAUGCAUUAUGCUCGAAUUCGGAUUAACUGAGAUAGAAACAUAAGUACCAAGUCGAACUGAAUAAUCAUUGUCUCCAUUUAGAUUCUUAUUAUUGAGCCUCUCCUAAGUUGAUGCCACAAACAUAGAGACAAAGCCCCCUAAAAAAAGAAAAGAAAAAGCCCUAUGCAAAGCUCCAUUAAGUACAAAUAUCUCUCCCACUAUAUUACAACUAGAAGAGAUACCACCUAUGCCAAAAAAAUGAAAAAGAUAGAUUUGAGGGGGAGACCAUACUACUUAGAGUUACAUUAAAGAGUAAUAUCUUUUACCUUUUUAAUCUCGACGCAUCUCCAGAUUCACGAGAUUACUGGGGUGAGAAUAUAAAACGCGAACCGUACCAACUGGAUCGAGCAAUAUUCGCUUAUUUUCGUAUGAUUAGCAUUCGAUCUCAGUUUUAUUUAAGUACAUUGCGCAAUAAUCUUGUUCAUGUGACCUCUAAUCUUGUUCAUGUGACCUUAAGUAGAGGAACAAAUGAGAGAAUAUAUCAUCUUCGAUCAGAUUCUAUGUAGAGAACCAGUAGAUAUGUCACUAAUGUUGCAUGAAAAAUAUCUAUAUGUGGAUUUUCACUAAUUAUUUAGUGAAAUGACUGAAAGGAAGAUAAUAUAUUGUAAAUGUGAAUAGUUACGCUGAACAAGAAAAUAUUUUACAAAAAAUAUUCCACACUUGUGGAGUUCUUCUUUGUUUUUCUUUUAGAGAGAAAAAUUACACGCUACAUGUUUCAUUUAUUUUUUUAAAAAAUAACCUUAAAUAAAAAUAUGAAGCGGCUAGGCUAAAGAAGAAACAAAAUGGCAUAAUUUAAAAAAUUGCAGUGUAAAACUUUUGCCAUUGCCUAAUUAAUCCUAACAUACUACAGUUGAGUUGACUAUCAACUGUUCAUCCUAAGAUCAAUACUUGUUUAUGAACUCUAAAUUUCUUUUAUCUUUUUUUUGGUUACCUAAUUGCAUUAUAGUCCCUAAACUUUUAGUAUAGUCCCAUUUCAUCCUCAAAAUUUUAAAAUUUAAAUUAUUUCAUUUUAGUCCCCACGGUCUAUUUUAACUAAAUGGUAUUGUUAGAAAAUAGGGUAAAAGGUAGAAAUUUUUUUGUUUAGUGAAAUUUUACAGAGCUGAUCUAAACUUUGGGUUACUUGAAAAAAGCUAUCCAAUUUUUCAAUAUUUUGAUUUUACUAUGCGAACUUGUAAAUAAUUCGAUUUUCCUUAUUAAAUGCAAUUCCCUACACCUACUCUAUUCGAAUAUUUGUUCACCCUAUCUUAAUUUUGUUCUUUUGAACGCAUAUCAUAUUGGUAACUCGAUCAACCUCUCAAUUUUUAACCAAAAAAACUAUAACAUAUUGGAGGGUAGAGAUUGAACAAUCAAAUGAAACGACUAACCAAUAAACAACUAAAAUAAAAAAAAUAAAUAAAAAUGAAAGGUUAGUUAGAGUAAAAUCAAAAUUUUAACAAUUAGAUAAUCAUUUUCAAAUGUUCUAAAAGUUACUCGCAUGCAUUAAUUUUUACCUUUUUCCAAAGUUUAUGAUUAUCUAGUCAUUGGCCUUCGCCAUGCUUCUAUAUAUAUGUUUAAAUGUUAUUUAAGUUUGUUCAAAGUACGUACGUGAAGAACGUUUCUGCUGAAACAAAUGUGAUUGCCUCAACAAAUUAAUAAUUCCUUUAUUUCAUUCUUUCUCUAUAUGCAAUCUCUGCUGCAAAAUCGGACAUGAAAAUUUCUUCUCAUCCAACUCCUCGCGAAUGAAAGGAUUCAAAUUCAAUAAUAUUAUAGAUACACAUUAAUAGAUAAUAUGUACACCAAGUAAUAAUUUUUAUUACUGUUUAAUUUUUUACAUAAAAAGAAAGAUGUAUAAAUAAAUAAGACAUGCAAGCUCGAUGUGCGUGUAUAUUUAUGCAUCUUAAUUUAUAGAUAAUAUACCUAAUGCUUCUCUUCUUUUUAAGUGCAUACAUUUUCACUUUAUAUAUAUAUCUAUAGUAUCGGAGCUUCGAUACUAUAGUCUCGUUUUUGAUAUUAGGAUGUUCAAAUCAACAAUCCACACCAUUAAAACUGAUCUAGUACGUGUAUUUAAAGUUUUUAGAAAUAAAAUUUUAUAUUUUUUCGACAUAGUUUACUUUAUGAUCAAAUCAUUUCAAAAUUGUCAAUUUUCAAUGGGUACUAUGGCGAGUUUGGAGUUUAACGGUGUAGAAGAAUCUAAAUUUCUCCAAAUUUUGAUAGAAAAUACUUUAAACUAUUUAGAUUAAGGUUAACAUUCUUGAUCUUAAAUUUAAAAGUCUUAUGCUCAAAUUUUAAAAAUUAUUCAAUUUCCACCGUUCAUUUUGACAUAAUUUAUUUACUAAGUAAACAAUGUCGAAAAAAGCUAAAAUUUUAUUCCUAAGUACUUCAUAUACCCUAAAUUAUAUUUAACGGUGUGGAUCGUUAAUUUGAACACCCUAAGAUCGAAAACAAGACUAUAGUACCGGAGCUCCGGUACUAUAGAUAGUAUAGUAGCCUAAUUAUUAAUGAUAUAUAUAUAAUAUAUAUAUAUAUUAUAAUAUUAAUAUAGAAUUAGGCUACUAUGCUAUUAAUAGCACCAAGUCAUUGUGCUACAAGUUUUUGGCCAUUGGAUUAAGAGAUGUGCAGUUAGGAUGAUGUGGGCCCUUUAGGGUUGAGUGGGUGGUUGGUUGAAUAGUAUGAUCUAACGGGUAAAAAUGAUCAAAAGGAUAGAUCUAACGGCAGAAAACUUGGUAGCACCAAGUGCUUCGUGCUAUUAAUAGCAUAGUAGCCGGACUCUAUAUUAUAUUAAUUAUAUAUAUAUAUAUAUAUAUAUAUAUAUAUAUAUAUAAUUGAGCUCCUAUGCUUUUAAAAGUCCCAAGUUAUUGGUGCUUGUAAGUUUUCGGCUCUUGGAUUAAAGGAUGUGCGGUUAAGAUAAUGUGGGCCCCCUAGAGUUGAGUGGGUGGUUGGUUGAAUAGUAUAAUCUAAUGGGUAAAAAUGAUCAAAGGCAGAGAUCUAACGGUAAAAAAUUUACAAUUACCAAGUGCUUGGUACUUUUAGAAGCACCAUAGCCGGACUCUAUAGAUAUAUAUAGAGAGAGAGAGAGAGUAGGGCUACUAUACUAUUAUGAGUAUUGGGCCCUUCGUACUCAUAAGUUGUUUUCGAUGAUGGAGCUUUCGAAUCGACGAUCCACUCCGUUAAAUAUGAUCUAAAGUAUUUGAAACUUCUAGAAAAAAAAAUUCGUAAUUUUUCGAAAUCAUAAUAAAGUCCAUCAAGCAGGCAUAAAAUGAACGGUCAAAAUCGAACGAUGUCUUAAAAAUGAAUGAUCGGAUCCUUCAAUUUAAGAUCGGAGUUAUUGACCUUUAUCUAGAUAGUGAAUAGAAUUUUCUAUCAAAAAUUCAAUCUAUUCGGAUUCUUUUGCACCGUUAAACUAGCAAGUAUUCCAUACCGGCCGUUAAAAACUGUCAAUUUUGUGAGCUUUUGAUCGUAAGUAAUAUGAUGUCGAAAAAUUAUGAAAUUUGAUUUCUAGAUGUUUCAAAUGCUCUAGAUCUACGUUUAACGGUGUGGAUUGUCGAUUCGGAAGCUCUAUCAUCGAAAACAACUUAUGAGUACGAGGACGAUCGUACUCAUAAUAGUAUAGUAGCCGGACUCUAUAUAUAUAUACUAGUUGAGCGUACGUGGAAAUGCACGUAACAAUUAUUUUAAUUUAUUUUAAAUCAGUAAAAAUUUGUAAAUCAUAUUUAUUAAAAAAUUUAGAAUAAAAUAUUUUAUAAAUUGAUAUGUUAUAUUUUAUUAAAACAUAUCUAUAAUAUCAAUUUUAAAUUUUAAUAUAAAAUAGAUUGAUAGAUUUGAUAUCCAAAAUCAAAAAUUAAAUUUAAUUCACGAUUUAAACUCAAAUUUAAAUUUUAAUGUAAAUUAAAUGGAUAGAGUAUAUUAAUAUUCUGGCAAAAAUUUGGAUAACCAUGAAUUUAUUUCUAUUUUAGAGAUAAAAAGAAAUUAAGCAAAUUUUGAAUUAAAAUAUAGAUUAACAAUAGAUAUCUUUCAGUUGGCAAAAUUUGAAUAAGUAUGCAUAUUUUUUAUUUUAGAGGUAAAGAUAAAUUAAAAGUUUAUUUUAUUAUGUUAUUUAUUUUACGUAAGGAAAGAGGAAUCAAAUUUUUUUUCCACCUAAAAAUGGGUCUACCGACAUAUUGAAAUUUGAAAUACGUGCUAGAUAGUAUAGAUAUUAUAUUAUAGUUAGAGAUAAAAACGAAUUAAAUAAAAAUUCACAGUAGAUAUUCUCAGAUUGGUAAAAAUUUGGAUAAACAUAACUUUUUUUAUGUUGUAGAAAUAAAGAGGAAAUAAAAGUUUUUUUAAUUCUAUUAUUUAUUUUACGUAAGAAAAGAGGAAUCAAUUUUUUUUUCCGCCAAAAAAUAGAUCUGCCGACAGAUCGAAAUUUGAAAUAUAUAUAUAUAUAUAUAUAUAUAUAUAUAUAUAUAUAUAUAUUUGGUUGAUUCAUGGUUUAUUUGCUGUCACGAUCUUUACAGCAGGGUACGUAAUUUAUAGGACGGUGCAAAAUGGUUCUUUUACGCGAAUAAUUAUGUGUUGUAAUUAAUGCUUCUUCCUGGAAAAUAAUAGAGUUUGACUACGUAUCAUUGCAUGGUACACCGACAAGGAAACACGUAGGUAGGUUUACGCUUAAUGGGCUCGAACUUACAACAGUAAUGUUCUCGUGGACACUUUAAUUUGAACCCUUUAUUUACUAACUCUCGCAAAUAAUUUGAAUUAAAAUAAACAAAAGUAAAAAAUUAUUGUUAAGAAAGAAACGAUUAAAGAAUAUAUGUGGACACGCUAUAUCGCAUAGAAUGUAAUUAAAAUUUCUAACUAAACAAGCUUUGAGAAUCACUAGAUAAAUUAAGGUCGCUAGCUGAUUUGCGUGAUAAUACGAAAUAAAAACUUGUUAAAAAAAUAAAUUUUAAAUUCAAAACUAUGUAAAUUAGCUGGGAGUGUUUUGACACGGUUUAUCAUGCGUGGUACGUCUAAAGGAUACGCAUGUUGUCCUAUUCAAUAUUAUACGCGAAGUAAAAUACUAUUUGUACACCCUCUAGAGUAGGGUGUGCAUACUUGUUACUUAUCACAUGAAAGUAAAAUUUAUAUUCGUAUAUUGCACCGUCAAAAUUAAAAUUUAUAUUCGUAUAUUGCACCCUCGAAAAUUUAUAACAUAAGAAACUGCCAAACAAUAUUAAAAGUAGCAAUAGCGGUAAGCUCAACUAUAGGUUUCAAACACUCUUUCUUCAAAUAAUUAAUGUAACAUAUACUUUAAAUAUUCUUGAUCUAUAAUGAUAUACAUGUUAAAGAUAGUAAUUUUUUUUUUUAUCUAUUUAGUUAUAGAAAAUCUGCCUGUUUAUUUAAUUAUUUUAGUUAUAUUAUAUGUAUUAAUCGCUUGAAUACAAUUUAAAUAAAUAAACAUAUCAAAUCUAAAAAAUUUGAGGACAAAAAUUUGAGAGAAAGAUCGUAAAAAAAGGGUUGAGUUUAUGUACUUUAAUUUGGAGGUCGAGGGGAGAAAAUUUUCUUCUUAGGGAUGUUAUUUAAAUCAGUGAACUCAUUCUUAAUUUCUUUAAGGAAUGCUUAUAAUUAGCAACUUCGUCCUUUCGCGAAGGGAUGCUUAUUUUUAAAAAAUGUGAAAAACUUCAUGUUAUUUACAAAUUCUCUCAGUAAAAUUUAUAUUUUUUAUAGAACGGAUUGAUGUGGCUUCAUAUAUGGUCCCGAAAUUUCACAUUUUAUUUAUAUUAUUAUAUUAGAUUAGAUUACCUUGCCUUUUAAACAAUCGUUAUUUUUAAUAACGAACUAAACAUAGUUUUAAAAAACGUGAAUAAGCAUAGACAAUGUUAAGUUGUGUUUUUGUACGCAUGCAUAUAUAUAUAUAUGUAUAGUAACUGCUUCUAGUGUUGCAUAUUGAUCGAGACGAACCACAUUUGAGAUUUGAGCUCGAAAUUGGAUUUGGGUUUAGAUCGGAUCCUUUCGUACAUGAUCUGAUUUAGCGUCCCACAACUAUUAUUAUUAUUAUUUUUGCGUAGAGUUUGGAUCCAUCUCGAUCACGAUUGAGAUGUGGACUUUGGGCUCGCAAUUGGAAUUGGGUUUGGAUUUGGAUAAAUAGAAUUUGGAUCCCUCUUAGAUUUGGUUGGGUCCAUUUAUGCUUCAAGUUGAAGUCGUAGUACAUGAUUUAAUAUUAUUAUUACUAUGCGUGAAUGGUGUGGAAUUAUUAAGAUGAUGAUUGCUAGGAGCCAAAUAUCGCACAUGAUUGGUCAGUUAAAGAAUUUCUCAAUCUAAUAAAAUUACAAAAAGUGAUCAAAGCACUGAUGGAAAUUUGUGGGUAAAAUGUUCGAUUUAUAAAUCUAUAAUUUAAUUUGUCAUCUAUUUAGACCAAAUAUGGUUUGUGUACAUAUUAUCCUAAAACAUCUUCUUUGUCAAAAAAAAAAAAAAAAAAAAAAAAAAAAAAAAAAAAAAAAAACUUUGAAAGCAUUAUAGAAGAGUUAUUUUUUUUGAUAUUCUAAAUGGUGAUAAGAAGCGCCAUGGGAAAAGCAUUCAUCGGAUAUGAUACUUUCAUUUCACUAAUGUAAAUAUAUAAAUGAUUCAACCUAAUUUAAAUGGAUAGCUUUAUUAGUUUCUAAAAUGUAAACAUUAAUUUAUUUAAGUCCUUCAAUUCUAGUUUACUUGAGUAAUUUUACCAGCUCAUGACAAAAAAAAAAGUAAAAAAAAUAUUCUAAUAGAAACGAUUAAACUGACUAGUCAUCUGUUAUACAGACAGCAUCAUCCAGCCACUCAUUUUUUUACCACUAUUUCAUUGUAUAAGAAGAAAAAAGAAAAAUUAAAAUUCUUCCAAAUUAGCAAUUGUUCCUGGUGCAAGUGGUAAAAGACUUGAUGGUUGGUAUCCGAAGUCUCAAGUUCGAAUCCUAGUUGAUUCACAUUUUCAACUAAAUUUAUUUUUAAAUAAAAUAAACGAAAUAGAUAGCAUGCUAUCCAUCUCUCUCAAAAAAAAAAUUCUUUCAAAUUCUUCCAACUCUUUAAACCAAAUUUUCUAAAUUAGACCUUCUUAUUUAAAAAAAAAAUCCAAGACCUGGUACGUGAGCCUUUUUGCACAAACCUCACUUCCCCCCCCCCCCCCCCCCCCCGCCCCCCAAAUAUAAAAAAAAAAAGAAAUAAAAAAAGCUCUGUCCUUUCUUAUGAGCAUAGUAGUUGCUUUGUCUCUUCUCUAUCUCUAUCUCUCUCUUCUCUCUCUCUCUUCUCUCUUCUCCUCCGUAACGCACUCCACCCACCAUCUCCAUUUCCCCCACCUCCCUCCUCCCUCCUCCCUCCUCUUCGAUCUCCCGCGCUUUCCUCUCUCUUCUCCCGCCAUAAAAAUGGCUUCUUGAAACCCCUUCAUCAACUCCACCAUUACCAUUCCCCAUUGCCGGUGCGUUCUCUCUCUCUCUACCUCUCCAAUGGUGGAUUCCAACGCCAACAACAACAACAACAACAACAACAACAACAACAAUCACACAUCCGAAGAAGCCCCAAGAGACCCCGGGGACGCUGCGGCCGCGGCAUCGUCGUCGACGACGACGACGACGACGACGACGAGGAUUGCGUUUGCGUUGGCCCGAGACGAGCCGUUCCUCUCCGAGUCGGAGGACGGCUACGUCGAGCUCCAGCUCUCCAGGGAAUGCUCCAUCUACGCCGCCGCCGCCGCCGCCGACCGCCGCGGCUCCUCCGCCCCCUGGAUCGCCGCCGCGCGCCCCGCCGUUAUCAAUUGGAUUCUCCGAGUGCGUCUCGUCAAUCCCCCCACCCUACCCAAUUCCCACCCCACCUCUCCCCCAGUUGCCUCAUCUAAUCCCCAAUCUCUUCUUCUUCUUCUUCCUCCUCUCAGUGCGCCGCCCACUUCGCCUUCGGCCCCUGCACCGCCUUCGUCGCCGCCGCCUACUUCGACCGCUUCCUGCGCCAAGAAAACAUCGACGUGAGCAAGCUAAAAAAGACAAUAAAAAUCCAAUCUUGAUCAUCUCCCUGCUCUCAAUUCUCCGAUUCCGAUUCCGAUUCCUGUAAAUUGAGCUGAGUUUGUGUUAUAUAUACAUAUAUAUGCAUACACCACAUACAUUUUACUUGUGUCGAUAGGAGCGGCCGCAAUGGGCGCUGGAUUUGCUCAAGGUGGCGUGCGUGUCGCUGGCGGCGAAGAUGGAGGAGCGGAGCCCGACGCCGCUCCCUGCCAUCGCCCGCCGCGACGAGCACCAAUUCGGCAGCGCCGCGGUCCAGCGGAUGGAGCUCUUCGUGCUGCGGGCGCUGCGGUGGCGCAUGUGCUCCGUCACCCCCUUCUCCUUCCUCUGCUACUUCGCACACAAGUUCUUCGACAAAGGUUAUGUAUCGGAUCACCUGCUGCUGAGAGCUGCUCAGUUCAUCUUUGUAACCAUCAAAGGUGGGUCAUUUGGUGGUUCUCUCAAUCGGGUCUUGCGUAAAGGCGCGAUCUUUUCGAGUCUCCUUACAUGUUUGGUGACGGUUGGUUCAAUGCAGUGAUGAAUUUGGCUGUUACCGCGGCGUCGAGCAUCGCGGUGGCGGCGGUUUUCGCCGCCGCCGACGGCAGCUUAACCCGGGAUUUGAUAGAAUCCAAGGUGACAUCCAUUGUUGACUCAUUACCAGAACCAUUAGACCCUGUGAGUAGUUUACACUGCUACUACAAUUGGAAUAUGCAUUGAUCAUCCUGUUGUUCUUUUUCUAUAAUUUUUGGGUUUUUCUCCAAACUUUGUGGAGAGUAAUGAGUGAAUGCAGAGUGUUAUUGCUCUGUGUUGCAGGAAGGCGUGUUUUCCUGCUACAGUGUGAUGAUUCAAGAAGCAUGUAAGGAGGAGCCUAAACCAUCAAAGGAAUUGGAUUCCUCUUUAUCAAAUCCCCCAGAAGCUAAUCAUGCCAACAAUGAUGAUUCUACUGCUGCUAAUAAGAGGAGAAAGUUGGAAUAGAAAAAAAGGAAGAAAAAAAAAAAAAGGAUUCUAUGAGUAAUUUUGAAGAGGAGGACCCAGGCACUUUUUUUUUUAUUUUUUAUUUUCUUUAACAUAAAGUUGUUAAUGGGGGCAUCAUGAUUCUUCUUUUUCAAUUGAGUUUUAUAUCAGGCUCAUUGGUUAAGCUUGAAAAAAGGUUUUGGUUUUUGGAGGAGCCUUUUCCACACUUACUGGUGUGUGAAAAGAAGGGAAAGGGGAGAAGAGAAAGGCAAAAGCUAUACAGCUCAAAGUGAAAAGACUCCAAAAAGAAAAAAAAAGAAAAAAAAAGAAAAGUAAAAGAAAGGCUGACUUAAGAAAGAAAGCUAGUAGGAGAUCAGUAGAUCACUAUCCAAGGGCAAAGGAUGAGUGAUUGUUGUGAAUAGGAUUUGGGAUUAGUCCUUUUUGUGUUUGGUAGCCCUUCUGUCAUUCAUUCAUGAACAACUUUACCCAUAUAUUUGUUUUAAUUCCUUAAUUUCUUCUUCUUCUUCUUUUUUACCUUAUCUUUUCCUUUUGCCCCCCCUGUGUGUUGUGUUGAGGCUAAUUGGGUUUCAGUGGAAGGGAAAAGAGUCUGGUUUUGUAUCUUUUGGAACUGUCCCUAGAGCUAUCCAUUUUGGUAGAGGAGCUUGGGAUGUGUCCUUAUAAGCAAAUGAGAGGGUGUUGGUUGUAAUUCUGAAGAUAUGUAAGGUUGGUUAAUGGAAAUGUAAUUGGAUUAUUGUUGGAUGGUCUUUGUUUUUCUAAUGCUGCUGUUUCCUGCUGUGUAUCAAAUAAGAAGCAACCUUUGUUGUUGGAACUUAUGAUAACUGGUUCAUGGAGGUGAUAAGUAACUGUUUGUUUUGUCUCCUUUUACUGCCUUGAUUUGCUUCAUUAUUUUUUAUUCCGGGCAUUUUAUGGAUGGGAAUCUAAUGGUGAUUUUGGACUACAGCUAUAAACUGAAAAGCAGCAAGAACUAAAACCAGAGGUGAAGGGGACUUCAACUGCUCAGAAUCCUGCAAAUAUCAGAUAGCUCCAUAUGAAUGUCCACAAUAAGAGCAUUAGUAAUAUUAUCCAAUAUUACCCACUGGCAAAUAGAUUAGCCUCACAUUAAUGUAAACCCAUAUAAUAAGAUCAUUAUCCAAUUGUGGUCCUAAUGUCCUAAGGUCAUAUAAGAGAAAUUUAGAAAGAGUUCUAUCCUUGGCAUAUUUGUAUAAAGUAGUUUUUUCGAACAAAACUUAUGUAGGGAGCCUCCUCAUGGUGGGAUUGUCUAAUCUGCCUUCCAUAACAAGCAGCGCUCGAAUCUUGAUCUAGCCUCACAAGUUAAGAAAAUGCACCUAUGACAUACAAGUUAAGAAAAUGCACCUAUGACAUUCCAAGCCUAAGCAGACAACUAACGUGUAUUUGGAAUAACUUAUUUAAAAAAGUAGCUUGCUAGAUGUUUGGCAAAAAAAAAAAAUCUCAAUCUUUUGCCUAUAAAAAGAGGCCAUUGCAUGCUUUAAUAGAACAUCCAAUUUGAAGCUUUUGCUUCUGUUGGAUUUGUUUCUGCUUUAGCGAAAAGCACCAACCAAACAACUCUUCUGCAGAAACUCGCUCAAGUUAAAUAUGCUUAAAAUGCCUUCUGCAAUGGCCUAUAUAGUGCAGGCCAACUUCACCAACUGUGUAAGAGAUGGUUACAAACUAUCUAGUAGCUUCACCUACUGUGUAAGAGAUGGUUACAAAGUAUCUAGUUAUGGUUGUUAGGUCUCUGCAUGCAAUAGAGUGGUGGGCUCACUCAACCAUCCCAAAGCCUCAAUUUCACCCUUCACAGAUUUAAAAAAAAAAGAAAAGCUACAAAAGAAAGAAUAUGAAGCUACAAAAGAAAGAAUAUGAAAUAGGACUGGUAAAAGCUAGGGGGUGAAAGGACUUCCUCAGCUUCUCCCACCAGCUGCUAAGCUUCUUUUGUGAGGUAUUCUCAGCUGGUGCAGCAUGUGAGUGCUUUACUGUCUUUUACUUACUUCAAGGUGGAAUCCAUGUGUGAGCCCUCCAUUCCUUAGACAGUUGGUGUGGAAAAUUUGAGAGCCCUCCAGCUAAUUUAAUCCUUGAUCACAGGGCUGAAAAUGGUCUUCCUCUUCACUCACUCUAAAACUUAUUGCAUGCACCUGAUCUACGCAUCCAUACACAGCACGAUGUUUACCGUCCAUCUUAUCUUAUAUUUCAAUCUCUACCGUCCUGUGUUUUCUACUUGAAAAAUUGAUUUAUAUGGUUGGACUGAAAGUAUGAAAUAAGAUCAAGAAUGAAUUUUCCUAAAGACUAUUCCUAUUUUGUCUGACCACGAAGAGAUUAUUUGGUUAUAUGGCAUCAAGACUGAUUGUAGACCCUCUUGGUUCAUUAAGAUAGUGUGGUUCUUUUUCUCGCAUCAACCAUUAAAAACAUUUGAGUCCCAUCUUUUACCUCUUCCUGUAUCUGUUUUAACAGCGCGGUAUUCAUAUAAGCAGGGAUGUUAAGACUAAUCUUGAGUUAUUUUCUACCAGAUCAAUCAAUUGAGGUAAUAGAUGGCGGUGCGUCGCGCUGAUAUAGAGCUAAACCAGAUGUAGGCAGUAACUCUCUCUCUCUCUGUCUCUCUCUGUCUCUCGAAGCAAUCAAAAACAGGCAGUAAAUACAUAUGUUGUGUAGAGGAGUACCACACACAAGUUUGGUAGUGAGUUAGUGAGUGGUACCUCCCUUUGCUGGGUUGGCUUGGCCUGGCAGAGCAGCAGCAGCAGCAGCAAGGAAAAGGAUAAAAUAAUGCUAGAGGCAGCUUGACCUGUUCAGUUGGAAUUUUACACAUUGAAUUGAGACCUGUGGCACCAAAACAAAAAAAAAAUAAAUAAAUAAAAGAUAAAAAAUAUGUUGCAUCAAAUGUUGGCCCCUGCGCCUUUUCCUUUGCAGCCCAAGUGAAGAGAGAGAAGCCACAGUAAAAUAAAGAAAGCACCAAAUCUACCAAAGCCCAAGAAGGCAAAACCUCACUUUGACUAGUCAACAUAAGUAUUUUCCAUGGGUCUUGUGAAUGAUGAACUGUCACACAAUAAUUAUUAGGGCUGUGGGGGUGAGUAGUUACAGUGUUAGGGUGAAGUACACAGGACAACAACAUUUUCUGGUGUAGUUUAUCAGAGGCUGUUGUAUAUGUCGAUUCAAUUAGUAAAAAGAAAAAAAGAAACUGAAACAUAAGAAUACAUCAGAAUCAUUGAGACUGAUCAGACUCAAUUAAUAAGCAGUAACUAAAUUUUUUUAAAAAAACUCCUAUCUGUUUGUCAAUAUUAAAACGAAACCACUUGGUCAGAUCCAUGCAUUAUUCUUCUCUUGGGCAAGUUUGCAAAAGAAACAUUACUCAAUUAAAGCGAGAAGGGAAUUACAUUGAGGCAGUGGCAGCUGUUGCCCAGCCUGAUAUAGUUUCAGCAUUACCAUGUAAACCAAAAAAAAGAAAAAAAGAAAAAGAAAAAUCCUAAUAGGGAGAUCUGACCCUUCUGAGUACAAUAUAUAGUUAUCAACUUGGGAUGGUUAGCUCUCAAAAGCACCAAAAAAAUGGGUAAAAAUGCACAUACAAUGAUCGUGAAGAGAAAAAUAGACAUUUUAGGAAAAAAAAAUUCCACACUCCUGCUAACUACAAAUUUAGUUUUCGUGCUACUACCGAUUUAUUAUUAGGCGUCAACAGGGAUUAAUUUAACUGCAGCAGCGAUAGGCAUGCUGAGAAAGCCGACGAAGAUGCUAGUGAACCACUGCAUAAAGGUUAGUGGGGUCGUGUUCGCAAAAUCUCCAAGGAAUUGGACGAUUAUAAAUUGGAAGAUGACGGUGCUCACAAUCACAGCCACGAAUACGCAGUUCUCCAAGAUGCCCUCGAAUACAUUGAUCUUCUCCAUCUCUCUGGAGCUGAUCUCAUUAAAAACCUGUGCAAGCAGACUCGGCCUUUAGCGGAAUCAAUUACUUAAAAAGUUUGAGCAUUAAGAACCUUUACCAUUAUUCUAUUCAGAAAAAAAAAAGAAAACGAUAGCAAAAUUCUUCAAUUUACCAUUCACAACAACGGUAAGAAGAAACAAUCCCAUAAUAACAGAGGAGAACCAUCGCAAGGAAAUUACCUGACAAAACACGAAAGAAUUGAAUAUAAGAGUAUUCAGUGUAGCAUCAGAGUUCAGGCCCUCAAGUCGAAACAGCCCUUUUCCUUCGGUCUGGAGAUACCAUAUCACGACAAACUGAUAUAAGGCUUGUCCUAGAAUAUUCCUCCACAUCACAUUGCUAAUGAAAUUUCCUUUCCUUCCGACUGGAGCUCUUUUCAUCAGAUCAUUAUUCGGCGGCUCAGUAGCUAACGCAAGUGCUCCAAGUGUAUCCAUGAUCAUGUUGACCCAAAGCAGCUGGACAGCAGUUAGAGGAGCAUUACCUAGGAAAUAAUUACACCAAAGGAAAAGAACUGUGAGGAGUAGCAUCUAAAAAUAGUAGGACAUUUUAGUAAAUGUAAAAUGGUAUUAUUUGUACCUGUUAAGCAUGCCGAAGAGAAAUUCACGAUUAGAGCUACCACAUUAACGGUUAGCUGAAACUGCACAAACUUCUGAAUAUUUAUGUACACAGAUCGUCCCCAUUUUCCCACGGUGACAAUAGUUGAAAAGUUGUCAUCGAGAAUAAUGACAUCAGCACUUUCUUUUGCCACCUGCAUAAAAGGAAAAAAAAAAGAAAAGAAAGAAAAAAGGAAAGAGAGGUUAGUGGUAAUAAAACUGGCAGAGACGAAACACAACAAAAUUCAGGAGAAGCAACAAGAACAAUGAUUCCAGUUAGCUGUGGAAAACAGGAAAAACUUGUCUAUACUCAUUUUAAGUUUUAUUUCUUGACACGAACCAAGUUUGCACAAGUAUGCGAGGACGUUGUACUAUAAUGUAAAGAAAAUGAAAAACUAGCAUAGAGCUUUAUAUAAUAAGCAGUUGAACGUCCAUCACAUGCUUGAAUGGUGUGUCAAGCUAAAGAUUGCAUGAUACAUCACAAGAAAUAGUUCCUUUACAUGGAUGGUCUGCAAUAAUUUGGCACGCCUAGAAUAGAAGUAGCAUGUUGAUAAAUAGGGUUCAAUAGGUCUCAAUACAUAAGUUACUGUCUAGUAGUUUGGUUGCUAGAUAGACAGCACAUAAAAGAUUUUCUGGAGUAAAAUAUGACAUCUCAGUUAGGACAUAGGAGGUUUUUAUACGUGCGAUCCUAAGCUUCAUAGAGCAUGGAAGAUAUAACUUUUUAUUUUCUCUGUUUGUUGCUGAAAUACGUGUUGCUUAUAUAGGUUAGCGUAAUGAAAUAUUACCUCAGUUCCUGCAAUACCCAUUGCAAGCCCAAUAUCUGCCUCAUGAAGAGCUGGAGCAUCAUUUGUACCAUCCCCAGUCACGGCAACAACUUCAUCGAAUGUGGUGCGCAGAUGCUUCACCAAGUUAUGCUUAUCUAACGGUGAAGAUCUAGCCAUCACCUGACAAUUGAACAAAAUAACAUGUUAAUUGAAUAAUAUUUCACAAAACAAGUAUAUUAGGUAAAAAAAUAAUAUUUAUCGUAGAACCUGAAGUUUUGGAAUCAAAGCAUUUAAUUCCUCUAGACUCUUUGUUCUGAAUUCUGGGCCUUCAAUAGCUAGCCCAUCAUCCGUAAGUAUCCCACAUUCUCGAGCAAUCGCUUUUGCCGUAUUUAUGUUAUCUCCCGUUACCAUUCGCACUGUAAUACCCGCAUUCCUACAAAUAGCAACCGAUUCCUUUACACCAGGUCGAACAGGAUCUUUAAUACCCACAAUUCCAAUACAAGUGUAUCCACUUAAAGGAAUUUGUUCCCCAACUGAGAAACCAUUUUCAAUCUCCAUAUACGCAAGGCAAAGAGUACGAAGUGCUUCAUUAGCAAAGCUUUCAAUUGUACCCUUGAGAUGACUAACCGCUGUUUCAUCAAGAGGAACAGCGUUACCUGUAGAGUCCAAUACUUUAUCACAAGCAGCCAAUAUAAUUUCCGAAGCACCUUUAGUAUGGGCAUGAUAUAUGCCUCCAGGAAGCUGAAGCACCACUCCCAUUCUCUUUUUCAGAGAAUUGAAAGGCUCAACCUUGAUAAGGCUACUUUCCUUGCGAACAACUUGAAAAUUUCCACCCAGUGACAGCCCAAAUUCUAGUAAAGCUGUUUCUGUUGGUGUUCCAAGAAUCUCAAGCUUACCAUCUUGGUUAGUCACAACCUCUCCACCAGUGUUAUUAAAUAUAGACUGCAGCAAAAUUUUCACAACAGAAUCUGGAAUAUCAGAGCAAAUACUAAUAGCUUCCUUAGAAUUACUUACUUCCUUGAUAUUUCCACAUACGCAAGCCUUUACAACAGUCAUGUGGUUGGUCGUUAGCGUUCCUGUCUUAUCACUACAAAUGGUAGUGGCUGAACCCAUAGUCUCACACGCUGCGAGGUGGCGAACAAGUGCUUUAUCGUUCAUCAUUUUUUUCAUGGCAAAAGCAAGGCUUAAAGUAACAGCGAGUGGAAGCCCUUCAGGAACUGCAACAACUACUAUAGUAACUGCGAUCGCGAAAAAUUCCAACAACUCCAAUGCAUCAUCUCCAGACCAGCUAAAGUAUGAACCAUCUCGGAAUUUAUGCCGGAUUAGGCCCUCACUUAACACUGCAAAUGUGACAACAGCAAAAAAUAGACCAAUUUUUCCGAUAAUAGUAGCAACUCCAUUCAAUUUCACUUGCAAUGGAGUUUCGUCAUCUCCACCUUCACUAAGUGUGGCCAUUAGCUUACCCCAUUGGGUUCUCAUGCCAACAGUGGUAACUAACAUUUUACAGGAACCAUCUUGAACCUUAGUCCCAGAUAGAAGGAAAGGAUUUUCUGUACUAACAGCCACAGGUUCACUCUCUCCUGUCAAACUGGAUUCAUUAAUUAAUAAAGAGAAACCGGAUAUGAACAAACCAUCAGUUGGGACCUGAUCUCCUAUAGCAAGGUGUACUACAUCACCAGGAAGAAGAUCAUAUAUUGAUAUCUUCUGUCGAAAUCCAUCUCGAGUAACUUGUAUAGAUAUUUUCUUUUUCUCCUUAUCCAAAUCCUUGAACUGCAAAGAUUGGCGAUAAUCACUUGUUGCUGUGACAAAGACAACUAAAAGAAUACUUGCAACAAUGCCAAGGCCAUCGUGAGCACCUUUUGGCCAUCCUUCGGUAGCAAUCCCUACGAUUAAGGAAACCAAGGCACACACUGCAAGAAUAAUGAGGGUCAUAUCUUGAAGUGCUUCCCAUACAAACACCCAAAAGCUCCUGGCUUGGCUUUCAGCGAACUUAUUUAUUCCGUAUAUCUGCUGCCUCACUGUUAUUCUAUCCUCCUGAGUAAUAAGCCCAUCAUUUGUUGAUGUGGAUAGCUUGUCCGCUACACCAGCUACACCACCAUGCGCUUUUAACUUCUUCAGAUCAUGGCCUUCGACGAUUGAACUUAAUUCCUCGGCACAUAUCUCGAAGCCCGCAGCCUUUACUUCAGCUGGUACAGUGUACUCGCUAUGCAAUGUAAUGCCUAAAGAAAUUCAUGAAUGUCUUAUAAAAUUCACAUAUUCCAAUUUUGAAAAUAUAUAUAGGUCGGAAAAGAGUGCAAGAUUACCAUGUAUAAACUGAAGUGCAGCUUUUGAAACCAAAACAGCAACCCGCAACUUCUCCUGUAAAAAAAGAACAUACGCAUUUACAUCUUCUACCGAAAGGAAGAAAUUUAGUUCAUAUUCAAUAAAUCAUGCUUCUUCCAUUACAAGCUGUAACAAAACCUAGAAGAUGAAUCUCUUAUAAACAUUCAAUAAAAAAUUGGAAAUAGGAUGUAUAUACUUUUAUGCCUAGAGUGGGAUAUAAGGUAUUUGGAGCAGGAAUAAAGUUAAAAAAAUGAUGAAUUCUCAAUAAAGCCUUUGGAUGUGGAUGUUAGGUUAAAAAUAUAAACUGAACAUACGUUUUUCCAAGAAUAUGGACAUAAUUAUAACUAAGGUAUAUGUUAGGGUAAUGUUUCAAAUGAUGCAGAGAGUAGGAUGCAUUCCAUCCAAGCAAGGGUCUGUGAUUGUGUAAUGCGACUGCUUGAUCGCUGUUAAAUGUCACAGAUAGGGCCCUAUGUUACCGCAUUAGACAGCUAAGAGGAGGGUAAUGUGGAAACAACUAGAUUUAAUUGGAGGAGGAUACUUCAAGAGAUGCAAAGAGAAAAAACAGCAUAUUUUCAUGGAUAUCUGACAUAUCCCUUUUGUACUAUUAUCUGUUAAAGCAUUUUCUUUUAUGUUCUUUCUUUGAUCUACAAUCACAGCAAGUAAAAGAAAACUCCAGGUGAAGCCAAAGCAGUGAGAUGGCAAUCAUUGAUUGAGCAACAAUACAAAAAUGCACAUCGGCAUAAGCUACCCUUAUUAUAUUUUCUCCAAAAAGUGUAAAAAAUUACAUUGAGAUGCAUAUUCUCUGAUUGGUGGCAAACAUGUUAAUGGCUAACCUUUUGAAAAAAAAGGACAAAAGGAAAUGCCAGAUGCCAAAUUAGUAAUAUAUGUCAAAUUUGUUCUCGUCGCAUUUUUAUGUAGCUUGAGUGUCACUAAUUCUCCAUUGAAUUCACUUCAUCCUCCCAUCAUUUGAUUCACAUUGUUAACAUUUGUUCCAAAUUAGAAGGGGAGGAGAUAACAGGGGAGAGAUAAGGAAAAAGUGAAAAUAAAAAGUGUUUGUUUUUUUUUAAUUUUUUUUCAAUAGAAUUUUGUAUAUCAAAAGGUGUAGGAGUGUAAAGUAAAUGACUUGCAAUCCUUUUAUAUCCAAAGUAUUUACUUGACAACAAAAAUAAAAACUUGAAAACAACCUCUCUUUUUUUUUUUUUGCUUUCAAAAUUUUUUAAACAAGUUGUAAUCAACCAUUUGACCGGAUGCAUUAUAAGUUACUCAACUAUAACAACAAACAAAAAGUCUUUCUUUCAACAUGUCAAAUUAUCUAGAAUCAGUGUUUAAUAAAAAUAAAAAAUGAGAACAAUACCGAAUGCGAGGCCUAGGUCUCUUUAAUACCAAAAGAAUAAGUCACAAAAAUUGACUAUGAAAAUCCCGAGAAAAUAUAACUUAUAACAAGAUCAGAAUAGGAUUCAGCUCCAACUUUCCAAUUCCAUAACACUUACAAAAGAAAAUAGAUUAUAAUUCACAAAGAGAAAAAAAAAAAGGAAAACAAAUAUGGAAUUUAGGGGCAGAAUGGUUAUUUCGAAGGAAAAAACAAAAUCAACUUCAACCAAUCAACAAACGGAGAAGGGAUAUACUUACAAAGCAUGCUACUUUGGAUGGCAUAUACAUAUAAAUAUAUAUAUAUAUAGUAGGAAACGGACUCAGAAAUAUAUAUUAUCGCCCUUACAUGAUGAAUAUGAAUGGCCAUUCAGUCUCAUUAUAUAAUACAAAAAAUUCAACCCACGACUCCACAUAAGGUCGAUCUAGUAGAGAACGGCUCAGAAAUAUACAUAAAAAAUGAUAAUUAAAAUUUUGUAGGGAUAAAUACGCAAUUUUUAUCGGUCUCAAGGGAUAAAAUUAAAUGGAGUAACCAAACUCAAACACGCCAAAAUCCCAAGAACGCAUUCAAAUGCAAAACAAAAAUAUUAAGAACGAGAAUCAAAAAUCGAAACCUGGUUGGAGCGCUUCAUCGCCCGGGCCUCGGAGCGCUUGGAGAGAUUGGCGGUGAAGCGGAAGCGGCGCUUGGGGUUCUUGACGACGCCGCAGAGCUUCCGCCACCGCUGCAGCACCUCAUCCGAGGAGUGCUUCGACUUCACCCCCCCGAAAUUCUCAUUGAGAUAGCUCUCCAUCGCGCUCUCCUCUCGCUUCCCCCCCCCNCCCCCCCUCCCCAAUUCCCCACCUACCACCCCCGAAACCUUCAAAAAAAAAACUUCAAAAAAACCCUAAUUUCGUACUCCCUCGCCCCUCCGCUCCGCUGCUCCUCGCAGCCGCUACUUGUAGCCGCGGCCACCGCGGCUCAGAAGCGCUUCUGGGCAGAAGCUUCCAUGUGAUUAGGGCGAAAGCGCAGUGGUAGGGGAGAAGAGGAAGGGUAGGGCAAUGGCGUUAGAGAGAGAGAGGGGAAAGAGAAGGGGAAAGAGAAGGGGAAAAUGAGGGUGCGGGGGAUCCGAAAAAUGGUGGGAAGGGUAAGGUUAGUGGCAGCGUCUCCGCGCGCGUGGGAGGAAACAGAGCGGAAAUUGAGGGCUCGAAAAAACCGAGUCGUCGCAAGCGCUUGGAAGCUGAAACUCUCCUGAAAGUCCCUGUACUAUUACUCUAUUUUGCAGUUUUUGCAGUUUGGUAUUGUUGUUCCCUUUUGAGCUUUUUUUGCAAUUAGCCCCCCGAACAAAAAAUUAUUUUAAAAAUAGUCUCGGCAAAUUUAAAUUUAUAAAAAUAAUCCUGACCCUGCCACGCAGAUGCCACGUCAGCGCCAUGCAGGCUAAGCUAGACCAGAUAGUUAAGUUAAACACGGUGAACCAUUCACUGUGUCUAAACACGGUGAAUGGUUCACCGUGUCUUGGGGAAAAAAAAGAAAGAUAAGUUUGGAACACAGUGAACCAUUUACCGUAUUUGAAUACAGUGAAUGGUUCAUCGUGUUCAACUUAAGGCCCUAACCGUCCACGUGGCGCUGAUGUGGCGUCUACGUGGCAAGGUCACAGCCAUUUUUUGUAAAUUUAAAUUUAUUGGGGCUAUUUUUAAAAUAAUUUUUUUCAGAGGGCUAAUUGCAAAAAAAGCCCUUCCCUUUUCCAUGGAUAAAUAAUAAAUUGCGCCGUUUAGCCCUCAAACUAUGAGGUCGGCAACACUUCGGUGCUUAAAUUUUAAUUUGUGAUUAAUUUUAUACAUGCUCUUAUAAAUAUAGUGAAUUACAAUAUAUAUUCUUAUAAAAUUUAACUUUCAUAUGUUGUUUCUUUAAUAGUCCUCAUAUUUUCAAAUAUCUUCCUACCGUUAGGAUCCGUUGGAAAAAAUUAGUUAACCAUAGAUAAAAUACUUAACCCUAGUUAGUUAAUAAGGUGAAUUGAUCGAUCUUUUUACCCUCUUCAAUUAACAGUUGAGACGUUUGGAGGGACAUAUUUAUGAUUGUAAAAAGGUCAUUUCAUUUGUAAAAUAAGCAGUGUUUUAACGGUAACAAACUAGAUGAAUAUAUUUGAAAAUAUUAAAACUUUUGUAGGGACAACGUAUGAAAGCUGAACUUUAUAGGGAUAUAUUUAUAGUUUACUAUGUUUACAGAGACCUGUAUGAAUUUAACCCUUUAUUUUAUUAUAAUAUUUUAUUCAAACUUUCAGAAUUAUUGCCAUCAAGUUUCACGAACUAGUUUAGCUGACCAAAUAUUGACACAUUGUUGAUGUAAAAGUUAUGCCGCAUCUUAAUUAUUAUCGUACAAUCAAUCAUAAUACUUGCACAUUAUUUUUAUAUCAAUAAUUUAUUAACAUUUAGCCAAGUAAAUUAAUUUAUGGGAUUUGAUUGUAAUAAUUCUGAAAGCUUAAGUCGAAAAUUACAACAAAUUAAAGUUUAAGUGCCAAAUAGUCACAUGAUUUAUAUUUUGGGGACCAUGCGUGCAACUUACUUCAUUUUUUUUAAACUUUUGUGGGGUUAUUUGAUUCUAUGCGGUUACAAUUGCAUUGUAGCUAUAAUUACAUAUCAAUUCGAUUGUAUCCAAACAUAGCAGUUGAAGAAACUAAUUUUAAAGAAAAUUAAAAACUUGCCUAGAUUAUAGCCUUUUAAACAAAAUAAACAUAAAAGAUAAUCCCCUCACCUCACAUAUAAAAUGAGAAAAUUUAAUUAUAUUUUUCAGCAGCAUAUAAUCAAAUAAAUUGCUUAUAAUUAUAAUAUUUAUCACUAAAUUCAACUAAAUAAGAUGCAUGUAGCUAAAAUUACUAUAUUUCUAAAUGAAUGGAUCUGGAACUAUACUAUAUUUACAAUCAUAUCUAACCAAGUGGACUUUUAAUUUCGAUAAAAAUGCAUGGAGACCCCCCAACUUUUCCAUGUUCGAGUAGACACCUACAUUUUUAAUUUUAGCAUUAUACUUUUUAAAAACGUAAUCAAAUAGUUUAAUAACCAUGUCUCUCAAUUCAAAUUAAAUUACACAACAGUUUUGACUUUUCGCAUUUCAUUAGAGAUGAUAUAGCUUUAAAACACAAAAAAAAAAAUAUUUUUUCUAUUGUAGCACAUGAAAUAAAAAACUAUAAAAUUGAAGAUAGGUCAUUCUAUUCUUUAAUCCUGAAAUAAUUAUAAUAACAAUAGCAAAAUACAGGUUUUUUGUCUUUUAAAAUUAUACGAAAUUAUGUACAAGAUAUGUGAUUAAAUAAAUUGCUCAAUUAGUAACUUUGUUUGAAGUGAGAGCCUUAUUGAAUUAUGAUGUCAAAUUUUCAAAAUUAAAGAUUUAAAUAUCUAUUUCUAAAAGUGCUAAAGUUUAGAGGCCUUUGUACAAUUUUUUCUACUUCAGUUCAAAAGAGCACCUCAACCUAGGGGUGUAAACGAGCCGAACACGAGCGAGCUGGGGUUGGCUCGUUAAAGUAUCGAGCCGAAAAAUUUAGCUCGUGUUCGGCUCGUUUAUUAACGAGCCAAACACGCGUGCGCUCAUGAGUUGGCCAAUGAACAAUAAAUUAAAAAGAUUAGAUUAAAUAUAUAUAAAAAUAAAUUUAUAAAAUCUUAUCAAUUAGACUUUGAUCUAAUAAUUGAAACUUUACAUAUAAAUAAUUUUUUUAUAAUUAAGCUCGCAUUUAUAUUUUAUUUUACUAAAUUUUAAUAAUAAAAAUAUAUAUUAUAUAUAUAAUUAUUUAUUUAUAUAUAAAAAUAUAAUUAAAUAAAUUAUAUAAAUGUAAAUAUAUAUGUAUUCGAGCAUUUAUCGAGCCUAGCUCGUGUUCGGCUCGUUUAUUAAACGAGCUGAAAAAUCCAGCUCGUGUUUGGCUCGUUUACUAAACGAGCGAGCCAAUCUUGAGGUCAUUUCGAGCCGAACACGAGCUGGCUCGCGAACAGCGAGCUGGAUUGCCACCCCUAAACCUACACGCUUAAAUAAAGAUAUACAUCUUACACCCCCUCUAAGUCAAUGGCCAACAAUUUGUCUUUUCUUGUAAGUUUUUUUUUUAUUUUUUUAAAUAUUAAAACUUCAAAAGGUUUUCUAAACCUUAGGAUCAAGAGAAUGUAACAUAUACACCCCAGAAUAAAAGGUACAGAUAGUAUUUCUCCAUUUGAGUCGUGAUCUGUACACCUGAGUAUAGGGAAUGUACAUCUUACACGCUUGAUCCAAGAGUUGAUACACUUCUUUUGGAAUAGCACAAUGCUAUUGGUACAUUUUAAAACAGAUUGUAUAUCUUACACAUUUUUCAUCCAAAGAAUAUAAUUUUUUUACUUGUCACAUCAUUUUUUUUAACUAUAACUCAUUAGGAUUUUUGUAAACCCUACGAUGAUGAGUGUAAAAUCUACACCUUUCUUUUAGGGUGUGUCUGGAGAAUUUUUCUUUGGAUUAUAAAUUUUUUGAAAAAAUGGACAAGUCAAGUGGAUUAAAAUAUAGGCCACGAGACCCUUUAGGGGUGUAAACUUUACAUAUGUACAUUUUCUCAACAAAAAAAAAAACUUUACAUCCGUACACAGGGCAUAUGGAUAACAUUGCAUUUUAUUAAAUCCAUAGAUGAUUUCAUUAAUUUUAUAACUUCGAUUAUUUUUAGUAAAUAAAACUAGACAAAUCAACAGUUAAUAAAGUCAUUAAAUUUGAAAAAAAAAUUAAGUAACCUAAGUAUAAAAAGUCAAAUAAAAAAAGGAAUUUGAGGAGUCACAAUAAAAAAAAAAAAAAGUUAAGUGGUCUAUUUCAAAGUUGGCCAUAAGAAGGUGUUGACAGCAGAGGCUCUAGUCAACCGUGGUUGGCACGGUCCCUCUGUUUGCGUGCUUUGCAAUUCAAAUUUUGAAACUCUCGAGCAUCUUCUGUUAAACUGCUCCUAUGCCAAAUUCUUGUGGACUUCGUUGCUUCGUUCUGCACCAGCAGCGCAACAUUAGAUGUCCAACUCAUCGGGUGGGAUAGCAGCUCGAUGGUGCCGGUCAAGGAAAUUACUAAUAGGGGAAUCAAAAAAGAGUUAUGAUCUCUACGUCGCAGCGGGAUAUUAGGAGUUAUGGAAAGAGCGGAACAGGAGAUUAUUCGACAAUCAGAUAAAACGGAGCGAAAAUCUGGAAAGACUAAUUCAUUGCACGGUCCACCAUAGGGUCUCUGCAACAGGGAGCUAAGAUCGUCGACACUUUCUAAGUUUGUUAACACUUCAGGGUCUUUGGCCCCUACUUUGAGCAAAUUCGGACUCACUACGAUUGCUCUUUCUUUCACUUUGUUUCUAUGGGUCUAUGUAAUUUGAUCAGGCUCAGCCUUUGUUUUUUAUCACUUUUGGUCCUUGUACUUGGUUUCAAAUAGGGUAAAUCCCUGUUUAAUCAAAAAAAAUAAAAAAUCGGCCAUAACUAAGGGUUCUCCAUAUAUUUUUCACCUUUAGUUUAAGAAAAUAUUUUAAUUUGUUUCCAUCUAGCUUAAUUUUAUUUUGUUACUUUGUAGUUUGCAGGGCCGAGCUAUGCAGAGGCUGAGGGGAGCCAUGGUCCCCCCCAAAUUUUUAUAAUUUGCUUAUAGUCCUUUAUAUAUUUAAAAUUUUAAAAAUAUAUUUUUAUUUAAUUUAAAAGUAUGAUGAAUAACCUAUUUUUUAAAAAAGUUUUUAACGCUAAUAUAAUCCUCUCUCAACUCUGAGUUUAUUUUUAUUUUUUUAUUUAGUACCUUCAAAACUUCUAAUUAUUUUAGAUAAUUUUUUAUUUAAUUAAAUUAAAGGCUAUAUUAAAGUUAAUAGCUCUGUCAACUAAUAGUCAUUUAUUGUUACAAUUAUAUUUAGUAAAAAUUAAGAAAUUAAAUCAUUCACUAAAUUACUAUUAGAUUUAGUAAAUUUCAAAGUUAUUUGAGUGAAAUAAUAUAAAUAAAAUAAUUAGAAGUUAAGUAAAUAUAAAUAAAAAAGGAGUAAUGCCUUUUUACACUAAUUAUUUAGUUAAUAUAUUUUCUCAUCAAAAAUUUGACUAGGUAAAUUUUAUUUAUUUGCUAAAAUUUUGAUUUGUAUGUAUUUUGGCCCCCCGCAUAAUCGAGUGCUAGUUUCAUCCUCCGUAGUUUGAAAGAUAUUUUCAUAUUAUUAUGUGAUUUUAUUUUUGUUUUAUCAUAAAGGCCUACGGAUAAUUAAGUAUAUAUGAUAGUAAAGUAUUAUAUUUUACAAAACUCAAAUAGUAAACUAAAAAUAAAUGAUUAGUAAUAUGCCAUAAUGAGCAACGUUUUAAGAUCUAAAACAUAUAUAUUUCUACCAAUCCAAAAAGUAGUUUACACUUUUAACUGGUAAAUUGAUCUUCUACUUACUGAACUUCAAAUUUAGUUUUGUAUCCUCUUAUUUUUAGAGUAUUUUAUUUUAGUUCUCGUCUCAAUUAAAAGUAUUUUUUGCGUCAAAGUUCAUGAGUAAACCUAUGUACAUUGAAUCACUCUGCUCUCCGUCUCAUAUUUUCAUUUUAAUUAUCUAAUUUUUAAAAGGAGAAAAGGUUAUAACUCUAAAUAACCCGAGAGAUCUUGACCGUUUGAUAGAAAUAAUUCUGUUUGGGAAGAGAUAAAUCAUUUCAGUAUUUUCAAAAUUCGACGGAGAUUAUCAAAUAUAGUUAUGAAUUUUUUUGACCAAAUUCAUCGUGAUUCGAUUUCCAAAUAAGAUUCCAAUUUAUAUCAACUCUUCAGGUGAUUUUAAAAUAGGAAUAGUUCCAUAGUAUCGUCGCAUAAAUCGAGCAUGCCCUGAACUAGCAUAUAUUUAUUUAUCUAUUUAUUAAUUCUUAAUAUCGUACGCACGUUACGUACGUGCAAUGAUCAAAUGUUACCGUUGCACCAAUUUAUUUAUUUAUUUUUAUAAUAUUAGGUGAAGUGGGGAUCUUGUCUCUAGCAACGUGCAACGAACCUUAGGUUAAAUAUUGUAGUUAUGUGCCAAUUUUAAGUUGGAUUGGAAACUUGUUAAUAAAUUAUGUACACAGCAACGACCUAAAACAAAAAAAAAAAGGAACAAACAAACAACCAAUCAUUUUAUAGAACAAAAAAUGUACUCAAAUUUAAAAUUUGAGUUAAAAUUUGUAAAUUUAGUUUUAAAUUAAAAUACAAGUUUACAUUUUAAAUUUAAAUUUUUGCGUUAUAAAUUGAAGUUUGAAUUGAAAUCAAAAUUCAAAGUUUUAAGUUCGAAUAGUGGCCCUCAAAUCUCUUUUCUUAUCAAGGGCCCAUCUCACUACAAAAGCAAUCAUGUUACGUGCCUUAAUUAGGCCCAAAAAGGGUUCAGAUUGAAGAAACAAAGGCCCAUUAAUUAUCCCUUUUUUAAAAAAAUUAUUUUUGGGGACACUCCUCUAGUUAUUCCCUUGCACAACUACUAAAUAAUUGCAACAUAUUUUGAAGGAAAAAAGAGUUAUAAUUGGGAGAAAAACUAUUAAAAGGUUUUGCGUUCAAAUAAGAUGAUGCGCAUGAGAAAGUUGAAAAAGAUAAAAAGGAAAAAAAAUAUUUGGGAGAAAAGGAAAAUAAUUUACCAAUCCAAUUGAUUCUAGAGGAACAUAUUUGUAAAAGAGUAAAGUGAUCGAUGGUUCGCAAUAGAAAAUAGGUAAUUUUUACGAGGUCAACUGAUGGACAGGAAUUAUGUAUGUAUAAAUUUGUAAAGUUUACAUGAAUAUAUAUAACGAUAUAAAAUUUAGAGGGGGUAAAAAUGUAAUUCUAAUCAAAGAUAUGGUAGGCAAUUUUUCUUAUAAUUUUGGGUUUUUCUUGCGUUUAGUCUUCUCAAUAAUUUUUUCCUAAAUAGCCCUAUAAAAUUUAUAUUUGUAAGAUUGACUUUAUUUCCGCAACGCAAGCGCCACGUGGAUGUAGCGGUAGGUUAAGUUGAACACGAUGAAUCAUUUACCGUGUUUGAAUACGGUGAAUGGUUCACUGUAUCCUUUCUAUAGUCGAAACCCAAAAUAUUACGUAGUAUCAUGAUUGGAAAAUAAUAGAAUACAAUGAAUUGUUCACCGUGUCAAAACACGACGAAUAAUUUAUCGUGUUCAACUUAACCUACGCCGCCAUCCAUACUCGUAUGUGGCACUUACGUGGCGGGAGUAUGAUCAAUAUUAUAAAUAUAAAUUUUAUAAGGCUAUUUAUAAAUUUUUUUUUUUUGAAGGGAUUAAAUGCAAAAAGAAAGUCCUAUAAUUUUCUAUGGUGGGACAUCCCCAACACAACCAUGAGACAUGGCCUCAUCUCCAUGCUUUAUGCUUGGUCCAUAUAUACAUGGAAAUAUACUUUUUGACAAAAAAAAAAAAAAAAAAAAAAAAAAAAAAAACUUGGAAAUAGAUAAUGAUGUAGCCAUAUAAAGUGGAAUAUAUAGGAGCUAGAGGGUAAGGACUAAGGACCCCUUGCAUGGUCUCAAUAAUUAGAGUACUAGAGGCCCCAUGCAUACUUGUGAAGUUGAAGAGGGCUUUUGGGUACUUCAUUGGAUGACUAGGAAUCCACUAAGAGAGAGAGAGAGAGAGAGAGAGAGAGAGAGAGAGAGAGAGAGAGAGAGAUGCUUCAAAUGUUUCUUUAAAAAAGGAGAAAUGGAUAGGAAAAUGUGUCUUGCAUGGAUCUUGGUGAGGUUUAGUUUGGUUUAGCAAACUAACAUCACUUUCAACGUUUUGUUUGUUUCACUGAAGUUGAAGUUUAAAUUAAAAUAGACUUUUGAAUUAAUUAGAGUUCACGUAAAAUUUUUUUUUUUCGUUGUUUGUUUGGGUCGUUGUGGAACUAUUUUUUUUUUUUUUCAGUUCUGUUGUUUGUUUGGCAAAACCAUAAAUGACGUGAAAACUGAAGAUGUGAGAUAUAGAUUAAUUUUUUUAAAAUUUUUUCUCACCUUUUCUUUUUCUGUAAUUGACUUCGGUAAGGGGUGGACCGAAAUCAAUUACGUUAUUUUGGGGAGUUCAAACCGAAAGUAAAGUUACAGUAAAUCAAACAACAAAAAUAAAUAUUUACAGCUGAAACUAGUUCAUCCAUCUCCACUUUCAGUAAAAUAAGAGCACUCCGUAUACGAAUAAAUCAAUUAAAAAAGUUGUAUGUCGAGCAUAAUUCCGUGAGCAGAAAAAUCUUGUGUACGAGGUGAUUCCAUUCUAGCGGCCAGAUGCAUCGUGCUGUAGAUAGACAAAGAUUUUCUUAGCAUAAGUUGCGAAGAACUUAUUAGCUGCUGGAUCCCUCUAUAUAUAAUAUAUGACAAUAUAUCAAUAGUCAAUAAAACUAGUGUACAUUAUGAUCGUAUGUCAUAUUUGAAUAUCAAAAUAAGUUACUUCUAUUGUGGUUGAAAAUUAGGAGUUUGAUUCUUGCUCCUUAAUGUUUCGUUUAGAGGCAUUAAUAUUUUAAUUAUCCUAUACUAAUGCCUAAAAUGAAUACUGCAUUCUUCAAACCAUUUUUUCAAAGUAAAAUAAAUCAUCUUAUAGAUGAAAUAUAUUAUUCAAAGAGUAAAAAUCAAAUUUUAAUUUCCAACCAUAGAAAAAAAAUCUUUGUAAAUUGAACAAAUUAUCAUUGCAUAUCUUAUUCUGACAUUCAAACAAGUUUCAAUUCGUGCUAUGAAUUACCUUAUUUCGAAAAAAUAAUUCUGUAUACUAACUACAACACAUUAUUUUAGAUAUUUAAUCACAAUCCUUAUUCAUCUAAUUCUAAAAAUAAUUUUUUUAAAAAAUAUAUAUAUAUAUAUAUCCAACAGUAGUUUCUUUUCUUCAGUAUGAUCAUUAGUCAACUAAAGAGGAGUUGCUCUUUCCCACCACAUCCUGUUCGAUUCCACAACAUAGAAACAUUGGAAUCCUUUGACGUUGUAUGUUUUUAUCGUAAGUGCCAUUGUGGAGGAUAAGGCCGAUGACUCACCCCAACAUUACUCCACCAAUCAAUUCAUGACUUGUGCCCUCAACAUAUUUAAAGGGAUCUCUCUCUCUCUCUCUCUCUCUCUCUCUCUCUCUCUCUCUUUUACUCUUUCUCUCUCUCUCUCUCUCUCUCUCUCUCUUUCUUUUACUCUCUCUCUCUUUCUCUCUCUACAGUUUGGCUAAGGUCAUGAGCUUAAAGCAAAGUGGUUGCUUCUCUGACAAAAUAAAGCUUUUGGAUUGGGUGGGACCAAAAUGAAAUAGUUUUUUACAUUUAUCUUCGUUUGUAGGCAACUAACGUACGUACCCAUUAAUUUCUGUAACAUUAAUUAUAUAUUAUUAAAAAAACUUCAAAAACCCUCCCUAUGGUUUCGCAAUUUCUCACUUUACUACUCUAUGGGUUAAAAUGUAUCAAGUUAGUGUUCUGUGGUUUUAUUUUUAUUUUUUCGUCAGCUUUUCCGUUAAUAUUUCGUUAAAUUAUAUACAAAAAAACUUUAGAUACCCCAUCUAAAUUUAUCAAAUAUUCACUUUGAUACCCUUUAGUUUUAACUUUGUCACUUAUUAAUAAAAAAAAUCAGUAAAAUCGAUAAUAAAAAGAUAAAAAUGAAAUCACAUGACACUAAUUUGAUACACUUUAAACCACACGGUACUAAUGCGAAAAAGAGUGAAACCACGGGGUGGGGGGUAUUUGAAGUUUUUUCUAUAUUAUUUUAUGGGUUAAUUGCAUACAAGUACUGUAACGCCCCGACUUCCCAGGGGGUCACCCAUCCUAGGACUACUCCCGUCCUAGCACGCUUAACUCUCUUAACCUCUUGGGUCUAGCCACCACCCAAAAUGCUUAAGCCGGGUUAAGAGUUUAGCCCUAUUAUAUCUCAUAUAUAGGACUAUCUGGGGUCUCACAAGUACCUGCAAAUACAGUAAACUACAAAUAUAUCUCUAUAAAGUUCAACUUAUAUAUAUAUAUAUAUACUAAAACGAAAAAGAGUGAAACCACGGGGUAGGGGGUAUUUGAAGUUUUUUCUAUAUUAUUUUAUGGGUUAAUAUAUCUCUGCCAUUAGAAUCUGUUAGAAAAAUUGUUAAUCAUAUAUUAAAUACUUAGCUCUAGUUAGUUAAUAAGUGAAUAACCUUUUACCCCUUUUCAAUUAACAGCUGGGACUUUUGAAGGGAUAUAUUUGUGAUGACAAAAAAGUCAUUUCACUUAUAAAAUAGACAAUGAUUUAACGAUAAUAUAUCAGAGGAAUAUAUUUGAAAAUAUUAGAAUUAUUUUAGGAACAAUAUAUGAAAGUUGAACUUUAUAGGGAUAUAUUUGCAAUUCACUAUAUUUACAGAGAUCUGCAUAAAAUUAACCUUGUUUUAUCAAAUUUAAAGUUGCAGACAGUUAGGCUAGUAUUCUGUUUACGUGGUGAAGAUCGGAGUAGAUCAAGUGACGACUGAGACUCGUGAGUGCUGUAAAACAAUUCACUGGUUUAAAAUUAAUUGAUUGUCUUAACUUAAUUGAUUGUCUAUGUUUUAAAUUAAUUCAUUGUCUCCUCUCGAGUGGUUUGAUUUUUUCGAUUACUGGUUAAAACAAUUCACUUACACAAGCAUACAUUUGUUUGUUGUACAUACAUCUACAAAUACUCUGAGUGAGAGAGAGAGAGAGAGAGAGAGAGAGCUGAGAUUAGUAGUAACAAAAAUUUCACAACUUUUUGACAUUAUCUGGUUAAAAAUAAAUUGGUUUCUAAUAACUUCACAUGCACUUUGGAAUUAUCUUUUGUGCUAUAUUUUCUUUUACUUUGAUGCAUGAAUCAAGUGUACACACCUAGGGCCGUUUGUACAGACACCCACUACAAGAAAAUUUUAUUACAAGAAUGUUUUGUCGAUGAUAAUUGAAAAAAGCAUCCCCAAGCAUUUCUAUAAAAUAGGAAAUAUUGACGCGUCAAAAAGUAUUGUCAUAUAAAUUUUCUAUUAUAUCAAACCAAUUUAUUGAAUGAUAAACUUUGCUAUUUUUUUUAAUUGAACGAUACUAUAAAGUGUCGGGAUUUUAAAAAAUUCUCACACUUUGAAGCAUCAAAUAUAUUUUAUUGAUGCUCGGUUUAAAAGUCAAUAUACUUGUGACGACUCUUUAUUUGCCACAACUUUCAAGUAUAAUGGUAAACUAAUUCUGGAACGCUUUUAAAUAUCAUUAAACACCGAAAAAAAAAAGUUCUUAGGUAUUAAUUUUCGUGUAGGGAACCCUUGAGAAAUUCUUGUUAGUUUAACAUGAAGGUAUUCGUAUCAACGAUUUUGUAUAUGCAAAAUACCCCUAAAUUUCAAUUCUUGAUUACAUCCUUAAUUAAUGUUUGAGUCUACAUUUCUAUACUUGAUCAAACAUAAGCAAGUAAUGGCUCAACAUUUUACUCUUAUUAGGAUAUCAAAUUUUGGAUACAUACAUAUCCAUCUAAAACUUCAUACUAUAUACAUACUUGUUGUACUUUGCAUAUAUAGCUAGGAAAAUGGUCUACAAUUUAGAUGUGAGUCUCUUUUAAAGCAUGUUGUACAAAAUGUGAAAAGGAAGUAACCCAAAGACACAUAUGUACUGUUGCAGAACUAUAGUAGUGGAGGGAAAAAUAAUUCUAAGUGGAUAAGAAGUACUCCAUGGUCCCUUGAGGAAUCUGAUCCACAUGAAAACCCUUAAAUUAAAAAAGAAAAAGAGAGAGAGAGAGAGAGAGAGAGAGCCCAAAAGAAAAAAAGAAAAAAAAAGAAAAUAAAAGAGAGGUUGAAGGGAAAGUUGAAGACACUUAUGAGGAAGGGUAUUGAAGUGAAAGCACUAAGAUAGAAGCUAAUGGAUCAGAACAUCAACAUAUAAACCAAGUCCUGGUCAAUCCCCAUCAAUUCCACGUGAAGUGAAAUAAAAGGAUAAGAUAAGGUGGGGAAAAAAAAAGAGGACAAAAAAUUGUGUAUUUUUGGUCUACUUCUGUUUCUAUUUUUAGCACUUAUAAUCAUGACUGAUCUUCUAUAAAAAAAAAUCUAAAAUUUGAAAAACACAAGUUCAGUAUUUGUAAUUAUGCUGAUAGAGAGAGUCCAUAUAUUAGAGUUAAAGGAACCUUAAUAUGUAGACUCUAUCAACCCACGUGAAAAGGAAUAGAAGGAUAAGAAAAAGCGAAGAGAAGUUUAAAGUCUUAGUGCCCCACUUUUGUUUCUACUUUCAGCAACUUUUAAUCGUGAUUAAUUUUCUGCAAACCAUUUAGUAAGCAACAAAAGAAAAAAUCAUAUAUACUUUUUCCAUGCACAGCGGGAAACAGAUUUAACAUUCUGGUAUUUAAAAAGCGAAAACUCUAAUCAGUGCUUUUACUCUUCUUGCUAUGACAAAAAGUAUUGACAAAGUAUAUACCGCAUGUCUAGGCCGCUUUUAUUUCUACCUUCAGUAACCCACAAUCAUUUUAUAGAUCUUUUAGUAAACAAAGAGUCACACUCUUUUCACGUGUAGCAGAAAACAGAACUACAGGAUUAUAAAAUUUAAACAACAAAAUUUCUAAUAUGAUGCUUCUACUUCUGCUGGUGUUGCAGAAUAUUUACGAAAGAAAUUAUAAAAGUUCUAUUCAGAUAACACUUAAUUUGUGUAACGGUACGAUACGCUGUAACACAUAUAGGUUGGGAUAAGGUAUACCCAUGUUAGUGGUGGGGCUAUGGCUAUUGUAUGUGGGGAGUGGGGAAUUUGCAUUGGUGGAUGCGGCAACAAGAUGAAGAGGCUAUGCAUUGCACAAAAAAAGCAAUAAUAUAUGGGCCACUACAUAAUUGGUGAAAGAUGGAAAUGAAUCGGAUUCUCGCAACUGUUACCCACUCUUCUUCCCAACAAUAUUAUUGUUCUCUCUCCCCAAAAAAAAAUAUUAUUGUUCUCCAAAGCGUUUGGAUGGGGGUAAGGGGAGGGAUAACCCAUUAUCCUCUCCUUUAUACCCAAACGCAAAUUUUUUAUUCGAGAAUAGUAGUUCUCGAGUACCUGAAAUAAGCUGGUAUGAUUAUCUUCACCAUUAUUUUUCUUAUUUCAUAUUAUCUUAUCCAAACGCUAUUUUUUUUUAUCCCCGGCGAUAUGUAAUAGCUAGUUAUUGCUUAUACCCAAACCAAACGAUUUUUUUUUUUUGAGAGAUAGGUAGCACGCUACCCGCUUCGUUUAUUUUAUUUAUAAAUAAACUUAGCUGGAAAUGUGAAUCAACCAGAAUUCGAAUUUGGGACUUUGGGUACCAACCACCAAGCCCUUUGCCACUUGCUCUAGCGACGGUCGGUAACGAAGGCUAAAUUAGUACUCAAAAUAUAUAAGAUGUAGUCCUUAGAUAGUAUACUACACGUUUUAUUUAUAUUUUUUAAACAAAUAAAUUUAACUGAAAACAUAAUUAAAAUAACUUUAGUUCGAAUUUGUGAUCUCGAAUAACAACUAUCGAACUCUUGGUGGGUGUUUGGUUCCUCGAAAAGGCGUGAAAAAAAGUUUAGGAAAAUACUUUUCAUGGAAAGUUUUUUUUUUUUUUUUUUUUUUUUUUUUAGUUUUUCAUCUAUUUGAUUUUAAGGAAAACUAAUUUUCUUGAAAUUUUGUUUUCAUAUUUUAAGAAAAAUUAAUGUUUUCUUUUUCCAUUUUUUUUAGGAAAAUGAAAAGGCUAGUUUGUUAUAAUAUUUGAAACUAAGCCUUAUAAAAGAACCAGUUUUUCUUAUAAAUAAACAGACAGAAAACUGGAAAGGAGUUUUCCAUAAAAUAUUUUUUUCUCGAAAUUUUUUUUUUUUCUAUACUUUUGUAGAGAAACCAAAUAGCCCUUUGUCACUUGUGUCAAAAUAUGUAGUCCUCUUUUGUAGGAUGAUGAAAUAGGGUUAAUUUGCAUAAGCAAACUAAGACAAGUAUUUUGAUAGGAGGGACUGGGGCUUCGAUAGAGAGCUUGGUUUCUUCGGAAAUCGUAGAAAAACUAUUUUUCGAAAAAAAAAAUUUAUGGAAAGUAAAUUUUUCAUGAUUUUUAUUUUUCGAAUACAAAAUUUAAAAAACGAAAAGAAUUUUUUUUCACAAAAAUUGGCAAGAAAAUAUUUUGCUAGAAAAACUACUUUUCUGAGAAUCAAAUGGACGGAAAAUGUUUUUUCAUCCCGAAAACUAUUUUCUAAAAUAUUUUUCGAAAAACCCAGCACCCCUCUAAGUAUAAACAGAUGAUAAAACUUGGAAUGUUAUGUAGACUAUGAAGUUCUUCAAAUUAGAAAAGUGAAAUUUGUAAUGUGUUUUCUUUCUAGUUUGCUUUGUUUUUCUAAUUUUUUUUUUUUUUGUAGGUCCAUAAAAUCUAUAAAACCUCCCGUAAAAUCUAUAGUAAUGACCCCAAAUGGCAAUUUAGGCCUCAUUUCUAAACACAUAUGUGAGGGCUGGAUCGAACACAUAAUCUUUUCAAUGGUUAAUCCAGAUAACAAACACUAAGCAAACUACUAAUUAGUAGUUGUCAUUAAAAUUCAGGGUUAAUUUCUUCAAUACUCCUCUAAAAGAGUGUAAUUUUACAGAUGUGCGCGCUACUCUAAAUUUGAAAACAUUAUUAGUGUUUUUAUGUAUAGAAAAGGAUUUAAGAUUUAGGCUUAGGAUUUGGGGUUUAGAGGUGUAUUGGCGAUAUUUUAGGUUUUGGGUGGGUAUUUAUGAUAUUUUGAAGUUUUAGAAGAUAAGGUUUGAAAUUGCCCCUAACAAUAAUAGUGCAUUGAAGUGGCCAAGAAAAAGUCGUAAAAUGAUUUUUAUUUUGCGGGAUAGAGUAUAUAUAUAUAUAUAUAUAUAUAAAAGAGAAGGAGACGGAGAUAUGCUACUUGUACAACCAAGUAUUGGUGGUAGAUCUUACAUUCAAUUUAUCCAAGAAUUUAGAGUAUUAAAAAAAUAUAAGAUAUGAUAACAAUAGUGUAAAUUUUUUUUUAAAAAAGACUAUUAAAUGAAGAGGGCAUAGAAUCAGCCCCUACUUUUGAUGUUUAGAUAGUAUUGUUCUACGAGAAGAGUAUGUCUUCCGUGCUUUCGAAAGUACGGAGGCCUCUAUACUUGUAAGUUUUUUUCGACGAUAGAACAUCCAAUUCGACGAUCAGCUUCGUUAGGCAUAAUCUAUGCUAUUGGAACUAUCUAGAAACCAAAUUUUAUAAUUUUUGGACAUCAUUUACCAAGCGAUCACAGGAUCUCAAAAAUGACUAUUUUAACGGCCGAUGUGGCACGUUUUUAAGUUCAGCGGUGUAGAAGUAUCAAAAUUACAUGAAACUUUAAUAGAAAAUUCUACUUAAUAUCAAGAGCAAGAACAAUACUUCCGAUUUGAAAUUUGAGUUAUUUAUCACUGUCUUUUAUGAGAUUUUUAUUUUCAGCUGUUCAUUUUGAGGCUACUCGUUUACUAGGCAAAAGAAGUCAAAAAAUUAUGAAAUUUGGUUUCUAGAUAGUUCCAAUAGCGUAGAUCAUAUUUAACGAAAUCGAUCGCCAAAUCGGGCUUCCCAUCAUUGAAAAUAACUUAUAAGUACGGAGGCCUCCGUACUUUCGAAAGCAUAGGAGCCUAGCUUCUACGAGAAAAUUGAUUUGCUUCAACUAUUCUUCCCCAUGCGUGUUAGGUUGGCUUUGAAAUUGGUAACUACAUUUAAUUUUUGGAGAGAGUCCAGAUUGUCAGAAAAUGGAAGAACUUUUUCGGCCAUGCACCUUUCACUUCUGGAUUUUUUCGUCGGAUUGUUGUACGUAACUAUCAUACCUGCGUAUGCGCGCAUUUAUUAGUAGAAUUUAGGGAUUAGGACUACGGGUUUGUUCCGACUCUCUGUUGCUUCUUUCCAACAUCAAAAAAAAAAUGCCUAUUUAGUGGGAGCAAUCUUAGUAAGCUUUGUCUCCUUUUAUCUUUCCCUUUUUCUUUCUCUCUUAUUACUAUUUUUGUCUUUUUUUUAAGGUCUUACUUUCUCAUUUUUAUAUGUAGUAUCCUUUUAUNUAGACUCUUAAAGAUCAUGUUAUAGUAUUCGACUUGGUGUUUCAUCUAAUUAUAUAUAUAUAUAUAUAUAUAUAUAUAUAUAUAUAUAUAUAUAUAUAUAUAUAUAUAUAAAAAAGGAUACUACAUUAUAGCUAAGUUUAUUUUUUCUCUAUGGAUGGAGCGGAUAGUACAGUACCUUUUUAUCAAUCAAGAAAAAAGAAAAGUUGUUUGGAAAAAUAAAAAGAUGAUCAAUAAUGCAAUUCACAUGUACGUACACUUUUUUAUUUUCUUGUUUAUAACCACAUGACUAUUCCUACCAAAAGGACUAAACGAUGUAAUCAUAGAGCCGCCCCUUAAUAACUACAAAACUUAAGUCUCCUUGGGCUCUAUUGCUGUUUUUUUUUAACAUACAAUUUCUAUAUGAAAUGGUGUAGAUUCUAAAUAAAAUAGUAUAAAUAAAAAUAAUAAAUUACUUACAAUUCUUAUAUUUUAACGUAUUUAUUUCAAAAUAAAAAAUAAAUAUUUAGAAUGCAAUAUCUUUUUGCUUCUAAAGCUUUUUGUUAAAAAAAAUCAUCAUCCGUCACUAAAUCAGAAUGCAUUGCAAACUCACUAACGACGACAACAAAUGGAUAUUUCAAAUUAUAAAUAUUAGUGUUUGAAAAAAACAUAAUGAAAGAAUUUUUUCACAUUAAUCCCAACACAUAUAUCAAUUAUUUUACAUAAAUUAUUGCCUACACAUAUUCAUUAAUUAUUUUUUCCAUCGCAUAUUUCAAUCCUACCUCCAUCAGUUACAACUUUUUUUAAAAUAAAAAAAAAUAGAUCUUUAAAUUGAAAGUAUGAGAUGGUAAAAUAAUGAUAAACUCGUAUGCACGAACGAAAAAAAUAAACUAUAUAAGUGCCAGCAAUAAUCUAAUGAAAAACCUAAACCAAAAUAUUUUUAAAAGUUCAAGGGUUAAUAAAUAAAUCUAACUAAAAAUUCAAGAUUUCCAAUGUCCAAAUCAAAAGUUUGGGAAUAAAAAAUUGACUCCAAGUUUGGGGACUUGUGGUGAAAUUUACCCCCAAAUUUUUGUUCAUAUAUAUAAAUGGUCUCCAAUCAAUGUCACAAAUUAAUAAUUGUCCUCAUGUAUGGUGUGGCUUCAUUGCCUUCACGCCAUAAGCUUUGAAUAAUAUUUUCAAUUGAGAUAAUACAUGCCUAGUGAUGAGAACAAAAUGACAAAAGAGAGAGAGAGAGAGAGAGAGAGAGAGAGAGAUGUUGAUUGGAAUCUUGCCACAUCCGCAUCAAUUAGUGAGAAACUAGUGAACGUAUCCGUGCGUUGCGACGGGUCGAUUCCAUAAAAAUAAAUAAAAUUAAAAAAAUAAAAAAAAGUAAUUGUUACAAUAAAAAUAAAAAAAUAAAAAUAUAAAGAGAAUAAAAAGAAUAAAAAAAUUAUAAGAAUAAUAAAUUAUAUUUAUAGCAGCAGCAAAAAUUGAGAAUUAAAAUAUCAUAUGCCUCAUAAUUUGAGUUGGAAAUUGCAACUCAUUAAAGUUUGAGAACUAAAGUUUCACGUGCCUGAUUUCAUUUAAGAAAAGAAUAUAUUAAACUAUCUAAUAAAUUUUAAACUGCCUAAUUGUUAAAAUUAAAAGUCGAUAAAUUAUAUUUUGAAUAUUUCAAAAUAUUUUAAAUAUAAAAUUGAUCACUCAUCAGGCUAUAAAUAUGACAUUAAAAUUUGAUAUUAAAAUCAGAAUAAAAACAUAUAUAACUUUUCUGAACUACAAACCAUUUUGAAUCAGCUAUCAAACCUUGCAAAAUAUUAUUUUUACCGUCUAACAUUUUUAUAUGUUUGAUUUGAGUCAGUUAAUGAUAUUUUGACUUCAAUCAUUUAACUUUACAGAUUUAAUUAGUACUUCAUAUGAUUUUCGUAACUAAAUUUAUUAAAUAAGAAAUUAACUUAAGCCCCAUCGAUCUUUCUUUUAUUUUUUAUUGCACAAUCUAUAUCUAAUUGAUUAAAAUUAUAAAACUAAAAUUUAUAUUUAAUCUAUACUAUCUAAGCUACAUAAAAAUCAUGUAUAAAUAAUUAUAUAUGUUAAAUUUUUAUAAUAAGAGAGAGAAAAAUUAAAUUAGAUUAAAAAAAUAAGUCCAAUUUCGCAUUCUAAAUCAGCGAAAAGAAAAAAAAUUUUAAAAAUUUUUUUUAAAAAAAACUUGUCCACACUAUCCGACCCCCUCAGGUGGGCCCCACACCCAUCCCCGACACCUGCCACCUGGAUCCCAACUGGGGAUUCAUAAAUUUAUAUAAGAUAUAAAAUAUAAGAUAUAAGAUGUCUCUUAAAAAUAUGACGAGAGCUACACUUUAAACUUUCGCUUGUUUGGCAUCUUUAUCUUUUUUUCCUUUUUUUUUUUUUUCCUUAACAUAAUUUGUCUGUAAUUGUAUGCAUUGCUGGAUGGUCUGUUUUCACCCGAGUCCCUGACCAUGUACUGAAACGACAACUUCUGAUGAAAAAAUCUAGAAAAGCCAAAAAAAAAAAAAAGAAAAAGAAAAGUAUUUUCGCGCUUUAAUUUUUUUCUUCGUCGCUGAACAUAUUAUACAAAAAUUAUAGGGUUAAUUGCAUAUAGUUUUCUGUAAAUAUAUCGAAUAGCAUGUAUAUUUCUACAGAGUUUAACUUUUCAUAUUGAUCCUUACAAAAGUCUUAACAUUUUUCAAUAUAUCCUUAUUGUUAGGAUCUGUUAGAAAAAUAUUGUUAACCAUCGAUAAAAUACAUAACUCUGGUUAGUGAAUGAGGUAAAUUGCCUUUUUUAUUCUUCUUAUAUUAUUUGUGAUGGUAGAAAUAAAGAAGAUGAUUGUUGGAGAUUUUUGGAAAGAUAUUUAUGUAUAAUUCUAAUAGUUAGGGCUUUUUGAGGGACACAUUUGUGAUGGCAAAAAUAUCAUUUUCACUUAUCUUCUGCUAAAAAGUCAAUAAUACUCUAACGGUAAUAAACUAGAGAAAUAAAUAUAAAUAUUAUUAGACUUUUGUGAGGAUAAAUAUAAAAAGUUAAACUUUGUAGGGAUAAUUUACUAUCCGAUAUGUUUAAAAGAAGCUAUGAAAUAGCACUAAAUGAGACCUGAGUUUCGAUUUGGUAUCAUCAUUAAUUUUUUUUAUAAUUACUUUCUUAUAAUAAGAUUUUGGUAGAGUUGAUACAUUUGUGUAGAAUUGUUUAGCAGCAAAACACUGAAUUAAACCUUAGCAGUAACUUCUUUUUUAAUUCUUCUUGUAAAUUCUUUAAAAAAAAUAAUUUUUGGCUUCAUGCCCAACGUUAAUGGAAGUUACCCAAUGACCAUAAAAAUUAUAUUAAAAAAAAUUAAAUUAUAGAAAAAUUUCUUAUAAAUACUUUUUUUUUUUUUACUUUUUCUAACUUCGAAAAAUUUAUAUUUUUUUCCUUCCUUAAUAUUUUAAGUUGUUGCAUUUAACCCCCUUUCUAUCAGGGUUCCAUUAUUAUAUAUUUCGUCUAUUUUUUAUAAUAUAUACCGAAAAUAUCCUGCAAAAUGAUAGAAAUAUAUUAAAAAAAAAUUUUCUUAUAGAAGAAAUAAGGUCAAUUUAGUCAUUUUAUUCUCUCUAUUAAUGCCAUACCUUUCUGUAAACAUUUUUAAAAUUUUAAGAGAGUAAAAUAUAGAUUUUUGAAAGUCAAUGAGAGAAAGUAAAAAGCGGGUAUUUACAAAGAGUUUUCUGUAUUUUAGCCUUAAAAAAAUCGAUCUAUGGAACAUUAAUUCGACCACAUAGAUAUAUGUUUCUUUCUCAUAAAAAUGACAAUAAUUUUAAAUGAGGACCAAGUUUCUUUUGAACGUAACCUUAUUAACUAGUCGACCAUAGUUUGAAUUUGAUUGAGGUAAAAGAGAAAUUACAAACAUGUGACUCACAAGUUUUGGUUGAGCCCAAAACACAACAAAAGCAAAAAAAACAAAAACAAACAAAAACAAAUUGAAAUAAAAACAAAGACAAGAACAAAAACAAAAAUAGUACUACCAAUACAAUGAUGUAACAUGUCAAAUAGGUGGGUGCAAAAUUAAAGUUAGUGGACUGACCACAUUCAAGUGUCAAAUAAUUCGGUGAUUGAUAUUCGAGUUUUUAAGUUCAAAACCUAGUUGUUUUAUAUUUUGAGCUAAGUUUAUUUCUAAAAAAAAUAAAUGAACGGAGCUGGGUGGUCCAUCCACGCUGCGUGCCUGCAUAGGCGUUUGCGUUUCCCCCCACAUGACGUGCAUCUGACUCCCUUCUCACCAAAUCAUUUUUUUAAUUGAAAAAUAUAAAAAGAUAAGGAAAAAAAAAAUCUGUACACCCCAUAUCGAGAUGUAAAAUUUACACCCAUUAAUAUAAUUGAUUGAUGUGAUAAGUAAAAGAAUCGCAUCUAUGAAUCGGUGUAAAUCGUAUCCACUGAAACGGAGUACUGUAUGAAUAACAUUGCUCAAUAGAUAAAAGUAGUCUCCUUUUAAUUUCUAAAAAAUUUUCACAUUUUUUAAGUUUUAUUUUUAAUUUAAAAGUAUAUAGAACAAAUAUAUUUUUAAACAAUUUAAUCUUUUUCACUUUUAUCUUUUUUUUAAAAAAAAUUAAAAGUGAGCUCUUUAUAUGUAUGCUGCUCUCUAGCAUUAAUUUUUUUUUAAAAGAAAUUAUUCUUUAACUUCUAGCUUUUUAAUAUUUUGAUGAACUAUACUUUUGGUCCUCAAAUUAUGAGACUUGUAAUUUCUGAUUCGAACUAUCUGAAUUGUUGCAUCAAGUCCUACAACUUAAUUUAGCUGACUAAAUAUUAAUAUGUCACUAAUCAAAAAGUAAUAUAACUGUGUUGACAAUGAUAAUUAAGAUAUUACACAAAUUUCACAUCAGCAAAAUGUCAGUUCUUAAUUAAGUAAUUUAAAUUAUUUGACUUGAUUGUAAUAAUUUAAAAACUUCGAGUCAGAAAUUGAAAUUUGAGAACUAAAAUAUUACACACCUCAUAAUUUGAAAGAUUAAAACACUAAAGUAAAAGGAUUGUAAAUAAAAAAAAACAAUAAAGCCAAAGGAUUGUUAACUACCCGGACUUAUUCAAAUGAAAAAAAAGAAAAUGAAGGAUUGUUAAUAAAAAAAAACCCAAAUGAAGGAUUGUUAAUUAAAAAAAUUUAAAAAAACCCUAAAGCCAAAGGAUUUGUUUUAAAACGAGCUAUAGUUCAAAGGUCUCCAUAUCCUUUUACAAUAGAAUAAUGGCUACCAUAGAAGGACUAUUCUCUUCAUAAUUUAUGUUAUAAAAUUAAAAUCUACUUUAAACGUUGUAAUUUCACUACAACAAAAACGGUCUAUAGCGACACUUUUAAAUAUCGGUAAAGGUCAAAAAAAGUGUUGCUGGCUAAAUUACCGACGCUUUUAAAAAGUGUUGCUAAAUGUGGAGUCGCUAGAUAUAUAGUGACAGUUAAAGAGUGUCGCUAUAAUCUAAAAGAGUACUGCUAAUUUACCAACACUUAUUUAAGCAUUUAGCAAUUGCCGGAACUCCACCUUGUUGGCUGCGGUGGUGGAGGAGGACGAGAGGGAAGGGCUUUUCAUCUAAGAUUGCAGUGGAUUGAGUGAUCUGGAGAAGGAGAGAUGGUAAUCGAUUUUUUUUUUUCUUUUCUUUUCUGUUUGUAAUCGGGCCGAAUGGGCUACGUGGGGUGGGUUGAGUAGUCUAACCUUCUAUUUUUUAUUGGAUUGGGCUUUAUAUUUAGACAUUAGUAGAUUUCUUUUUAAGUUUCGGCAUAAAUAAGACACUUACACAAAAGUGUCCCAAACAUGUGUCCCUAUAACCUAAUUCUGUUGUAGUGUUUAUAAUGACAAAAAAGUCCAUGAAUAAAAAAUUUAUAUACGUUGAAAAUUAAAUUUGUAGCAAAUCAAUAUACAAAAUUUAUGAUUUUCAAUAUAUAUCCAACUAUUUUAAAUGCCAUAGAGCUUAUUCAAUUAAUGGGUUAGAUUUUGAUUUUACAUAAAACUUGUUCCAUGCAAUAAUAUCAUUUAAAACUGCAAACAAAAGAAGAAAAUCUUAAUGACGAAAAAGGUAAUUAAAAACAUAACAAAUGGAUCUGAAUUUUGGAUCAUUUUGAGACGAACGAUACGAUUUUUGAAAAGUUGUCUCUACUUCCUAAUUCAUUUGAUUUGUGUUAUUAGAUAGAUAAUACUUUUAUACAUAAUUUCCCGAUGACAGAAAUGACUAGAAUUUGAAGGUGAAAUUACAUGUUCAAAUUCAAUAAUAAACAAACUGUCAAAUUGUUUAACCCAAACAAAAUUGGUAUUUUAGUUAACGAAGUCAAAACUUAAUUUGAAAGAUUCGGUAUAGCUUCAAAAUGAGUCGCAGUUAGAUAACUUAGACACAUUUUUACUUGCUAGACUCAUUUUUGAUACCUUGCAUACAUUUUUACUUGCUACAAUUUCUAAAAGACAAUUUAGCAUAUGCCACAAAAUAAGUUUCAUAUAUAUGAGAAACUUUUGUUAGUAUAGAUUAAUAAGUCUAACAAUCAAAAUACUUAGGUAUCCUUCUUUACAAAAGCUAUCUACUAGGCUUUGUGGAUUCACUUUUAAGAGCAAAGUUCUUACUUUUAUUGCCUUAUAGGUUUAAAGGAAUAUAUGAUCAUAGUACACAUAGUUUAUGUGUGGACUUAUCUUAUCUUAUCUUUUCUUUUCUUUUCAUGAGAAGUCCCAAGUUGCGCUAGAGUGCUUUUCGAAGUAUACAGAUAUUCAUAUUUACUUAAAUCGAUGAUUGACGCUAUUAGAGUUGAUCUAUAGCCUCCGGGAUUUAAACUUCAUGAUUUUUCGUCAUUAUUCAGCUUAUGGUCGAGUGGGAUCAAAACAUACUGCUGAAAUUGAAAAUCUAGCUUGUAAAAGGAAUAAUAAUAGUAUUAGUAAAUUUUAGAUUGAGAGUUUUGAUCUAGGUCUUAAUAGUUAAAAAAGAAAUUCUACGCAAAUUACAACCAAUUUCAUGUAGGUCUUAAUAGUAAUAAUAUUUUAUAAAGUUAAACUUACAAACAUUUCAUGUAGGUCUUAAUAGUAAUAAAUUUUUUUUUAUAAUUUGAAGUGGAAAAUUUAUAUUAAAGCUUUUGCUCUCCACAUCAAUAAACUUAAUUUUGGCUUCCAAUUCUAGAAGCUCUGGAAAUUAAAUUUGCUCCCAAUUUUGGUUUUUCAAGUAAGAAUAUGUUCCGAAAACAUCAACCACCCAAACUUUUAAUUAAAACACUUAAUAGCAUAUUAAUUAAUCUUAAUAAAUUAAAUCAUGCUUACCUUAGAAAAGAAGCUUCACAAUAAUUAAUAGUGCACUCUCGUUACCUAACCCAUGCACUCACAGCAGAGCAAUUACUAUCUAGCGACGUGGAUGAGAUUAGAAUGAGUUAUUAGGAAAUUAAUUGCCAAAUGCGUUGGAUAAGACAAUGGUAAUGGUGACACCUCACCAAGCACAAAUAAAAGCUAGCUUAAUUAAUAAAUGAAAAAUGUAGAUAGAGAUAAAUGGUUACGUACGUGCACACACACAUGCACACAUACGACGCAGAGAGAGAGAGAGAGAGAGGAGGAAUUCUACACUGUCACACUUGCACCACGUCAAUAAUAACAAGUCAAUCACAUUUCAUUUUUCAAAUAAAAGUACAAUAAAAAUACUUUUUUACAAUCAUGAUGGGACAUAUAAUUUUAAAAGGAUUAAUUUGAUUGGUUUGUUACGCCACGUCACUAAUUUAUCCGUUGCAUUCUAAAAUUUUUUGAGAGAGAGAUAUGAAGCAUUAUUGAUAUGUAUUACUCAAAAGAACAACUUGAUAUGACUCGACAAUAGUAUAUGAAUACUUUCACUCUUGUGGGAGGUGGUGGGGAUGAUCAGGGGAACUUAUGUUAUAUGAAAUUGGACUCAGGAGCCAUCUUAAAAGGUAGGGAGUUGAUUGCGACUCAGCUAUGUAUAGGGCUGGCAAAUGAGUGAGCCGGUUCGCGUUCGACUCGAUAUUUGGCUCGCCCGAGCUCAACUCGAAAUUAAAUGAGCCGAGCUUGAAUAAAAAAAAAAGACUCGAAAUUCAUUUCAAGCCGAGCUUGAGUAUUACUCGGCUCGUUCGAAUUAGGCUCGAAAAGCUCGAAAAGCUCAAAUAUAUAUAUAUAUAUAUAUAUAUAUAUAUAUAUAGCUAUGCUACUAUGCUACUAAUAGCACCGAGUCAUUGGUGCUACCAAGUUUUCCGCCGUUAGAUCUACCCUUUUGAUCAUUUUCACCCGUUAGAUCAUACUAUUCAACCAACCACCACUCAACCCUAAAGGGCCCACAUCAUCCUAACCGCACAUCUCUUAAUCCAAUGGCCAUAUAUAUAUUUAAUAUUAUAUAUAUAUAUAUAUAUAUAUAUAAAAGCACGAUUAUUCAAUUUGGGCUCGUCGACAGACCCAUUUUUCGGCGGGAAACUUUAGAGAUUAUUGUUAAUUAUUUAAAAGCACGUAUAUUCAAAUUUUAUUUACUAACAGAUUUUAUUUUCUAUUUAAUUUCAAAAGUAAUUUUUGCAUUAGAGAUUAUUGUUAAUUAUUUAUCAUUUAAAGCAUAUCUUUCUUAUAGCGUGAUUUAUUAUUUUAAUUUUUAGAUACAUGUUUGGCAAUCAUAUAAAAUAUGGCCUAAAAUAAAAAAAUAAUUUAAAAAAUUAUAACUUUUUAAUAAUUAUUAUGUGCAUUUGCACGUACAUAUUUACUAGUAUAUAAUUAUAUAUAUAUAUAUAUAUAUAUAUAUAUAUAUAUAUAUAUUAUAUAUAUAUAUAUAUGAAUUAGGGCUGGAAUACUAUUAAUAGUAAAACGUUUUUUUUCCUAUCAAGUUUUUAACCCUUGGAUGAAAAUUGUAGGGUCAGGGUUAUAUUAGUCGGUUAGAGUUGAGUGGUCCCCUAGGGUUGAGUGGUCCUUACUGGGUUAUAGUAUUUAAUCAAUGGUUAAAAAUAAUGAAAGAGUUGAUCCAAAGGCUAAAAAACUGGUUGCAAUAAUGGAUUUUGCUACUAGCUAAUAGUAGCCCAGUCCAACUAUAUAUAUAUAUAUAUAUAUAUAUAUAUAUAUAUAUAUAUAUAUAUAUAUAUAGUAGAGCACUAUACUAUCGAAAGUAUAGAGAUCUGGUGCUUUCGAUUUUUUGAUUCUUAGAUCAAUCCCUUUAAUCGUCUUUUCUUAUUUUGGAUUAUAUUAUUAUUACCUUUUAGGGACCACUCAAUCCUAGGGGAGGCUGCAAUCAUCCCAACCAUACAAUUUUUAAUCAACGGGUCAAAAAUUCAAAAACAUCAAAUCCUCUAUAUUUUCGAUAGCAUAGUAGUCUACACUAUAUAUAUAUAUAUAUAUAUAUAUAUAUAAUAUAUAUAUAUAUAUAUAUAUAUUAUAUAUAUAUAUAUAUAUAUUAUAAUAUUAUUAUAUAUAUAUAUAUAAAAUAUAUUUUAAUUAUAUAUAGACUGAGUGAAUAAUUUGAGUUUAGUUAAAAUUGGGCUAAUGUUGUUGGCCCACAAAAACAAACCGAAUAGACAAAUAAAAGAGCAAAAUUUUACUAAAUUUAUAUAAUUUUCCUUUCUUUCUUUCUUUCUUUCUUUCUUUCACAGAGCUCUAAAUUUUCAAUAUAUUUCUCUCUUUCUUUUUUUCUGUCUCUCACCCUAAGUGGUCAAGCCGGAAGCCCUCCAAGUUACCAAGUAACAGCAUAUGCCCGCCGUUGCCUACCUUGCUAUUAAUUAUAUGCUUGAAAAAAUAUACAGAAUAUUUUUAAAGUAAAAUAUUAUUAUUCAUAUAAAAUUUCAAUUUUAGUUAUAUAUGAUUGGAUAAUUUAAUCCUAUAUUUAUUUAUAUAAUUUAUUUAUUUUUGACUGCAUAAAUAAAAAUGAAUAAUAUAGAGAUUGAAGGCGGAAGAAAAGACAUGUGAGGCUGAAAAAAUUAGAUAUUCAACUCAUAAAUUAUUUUUUUUCAUAUUAAAAUACUAUAUUUCAUAUAAUUAUUUUGUACUUUGAACUAUUAGACAUAUUUUUGUAUCAAAUUAUAGAUAAUGUUCUAUACAAAUUAAACUAUUGAUCAUAUAAUGUUGAGAAUUUCAAGCGGCUCGUUUAGGGCUCGAGUUCGCUCGACUUGAAAUUAGGAUCGCUCGAGUUUGGCUUGAAUUAAUUUCAAUCCAAGCUUGAGCUUAAAUUUAGGCUCGAAAUUAAUUUCAAGCCGAAUUUGAGCCGAGGUAAGCUCGCUCGAUCGAUUUCGGCUCAUUUCCAUCUCUAGCUAUAUAUCAUGUUACACAAGAGACCGAUCUGACGUUCUGAUUUUUAAAAAAGUCAUUCAUUCUAGAAUUACUUUAAUUUUAGCACGUUUAAUUUUUUUAAUAAUAGUUGGUGAUUAACCGGCGCUUAAAAUAUUAUGACCGGAUUACGAGAUUUAAUCAUAUUUUAUCUUAUAAACAAGACUAUUUUAAAUUCUGAAAAUGUCAUUUUUUUUAUUUUUGAAGCUCUGACGUUCUCGUCAAACUCAAGUACACUCAUAAGCAUCAGGCGAUAUGAAACUUGUCUCGCUAGGGAGCCGCGAUUCACUCAUAACGGUCAUUAGUUGGAGAACCCCACUUUGCCCGUUGUAUGAAACUAGCUCAGUCGAGAUUUAUCUUGUACUUCUGGUUGAUGAUCGGCGUUGAUACUAACGGUAACGUUCUACUUUUCAAAAAAAGUUACGCAUUCUAAAAUUACUUCAUCCUUAACACAUACAUUUACACCACAGAUUGGUCAAAAGCAGUUUUCAAAGAAUCAAGGUCAACUGUUUUAAGAGUCCACAUGUAAAUAAUUGAUACCAAAUAAAUAAUAAGAGUGAAGGAUUUGAUGUAUACAAGUAGACUAUGAUCUUAUAUGCUUUAGGUUUUAGAUUGAAUGAGUUCUAUUAGAUAUAUUAUAUUCUUGGACUUUAUCGAAAAUUUUCUAAUAAGCGGUAUCAGAGCAUAUAGUUGACAAUUCUGGAUUACUCGUACAACUAUGUAUGGUGUGGUUGAGUUCGAGCCUGUUUGUCUUAACAGUUGGAGAAGUGAUUCUUGGAGAAUUAAUUUUAGUUUGAAAUUUUUAUUUUGUUUAAAAAUUGUACAACAUUGGUUGAGUCUGACAUGAAAGCGAUUUUUCUGAAGUUAUUUAUAAACCUGUUUGGCAACUUUUUUUUUUUUUGUUGUUUGCAAAUAAUAAUUCUUUUCUAACUUUGUUAAAAACUUUGAAUACAAAAUUUUAAUUUAAAUGUAAAUUUAAAAAAUGAACCAAAUUUUAAAAUUUGAUAUUUAAAUUUAAAAUCAAAAUUUAUAUUUUAAAAUCUAAAAAAAAUUAAUUUAAUCUAAAUAUGAAAUUUGAAUAUGACUUCAAAUUUCAAAUUUCAAAUUUUAGGUUUUAAUUUUAAAAUUUCAAUUAAAAUCUUUAAUUGAAAAUUUUAAUUUUGAUUUUAAAUUUAAAUUCUGAUAUGUAGCACGUCUUUCGUGAUCCAAUACUAGUCACAGAAAAUACAAGCUAAGCAGCUAGUGGAUAAAACUUCAGUAAAAAAUUCUCCAGCAAUGUCUUAUUAGAGAGCUUUUGAUCUGUUGUUACGUAUUAAUUUUGUUUUAUUCAAUAAUUCGUUUGGUAGUUUUAAUAUUAAAAUUCAAAAAAAAUUUAAAGUCUUAAAAAAAAAUAAUUCUUGAAUAAAGAUAAGGGCGGCAUAUAGCAAUGAAUUGAGGCUUCUUGACGAGACGUUGUAAUAUUUUCUACAGCUAGUGGUAGUACUUCCAUUUUUUUUUUUUUAUAAUUUCAAAACUUAAUCGCGGAUAUAUUUUUUGAUGAUGCAAUGGAUCAAGAGCCUGAUUUCUCUAUCUUAUCUUAAUCCAACUGCUCAGCCUCGCAAUUAAUUACCUCAUACAUUGAAAUAAAUAAUCUAAUAAAUGGUUUUGGAUAACGCUAAUAAAUAUAUGGAGAGAAAUUAAGAUGUGAAAUUAUAAGAUAAGGUUUUUUUAUUUUCUAAAACAUAAAUUUUGUAUGAUUGGAUACGCCAAUAAAUAAAAUUAAUGUACUGUGACGGGUGACAAAUGAAAGCUUAAAAAAAGGAAAAAAAAAUUACAUUGAAAAUUUUAUAUCUUGUUACCAAAUAAAUAUGUAAUUUGGAAGCAAGAAUUGUAAUCAACCUGCCAUCCAUUUUUAUUUUUUUAUAUAAAAAUAUUAUUCAAUUGAAGUAUGACAAUAAUCUCAAACAAUGCCAUAAAAUUUUAUUUAAACAAGUAGUAGUAGCUAGUACUGAGCAUAAUUAUUUAAAAUUAUAUAAAAUAAUCACUUAUCUCUAAUCGAGUAAAAGUUUUUAGAAAACAACAUUUUGACAUUUUUAAUAUUUAUAUUAAUAUUUUUUUUUCUCACGUCUGAGUUGAAGAUAUUGAUAGACCAAAGACACAAGCUUGAAUCAAAUAAAAAAAGUAAAUAAAUAAUGUUAGUAGCAUGAUGGAUUGAACUUUUCAUAUUAAAUCGUAUGAAACAAUAGUUUAUCUUCAAUAAUUUAAAGUAAUAUUUUUAAUAUUUAUAUUCAACUAAUUAAAUGCGAGGGACAAAGCUACUUCCCAUAUUUGCUUGGAACUCUAAUUUAGAUUAAACUUCUAUAUAUUAU
RNAcentral lists this long non-coding RNA (50178 nucleotides) under Ananas comosus (pineapple). RNAcentral's name for it is "long non-coding RNA (ACOM_LNC023008)". The record is from RNAcentral. Lineage: Eukaryota; Viridiplantae; Streptophyta; Magnoliopsida; Poales; Bromeliaceae.